RNAcentral lists this long non-coding RNA (66727 nucleotides) under Physcomitrium patens. Its description in RNAcentral is "long non-coding RNA (PPAT_LNC001052)". Lineage: Eukaryota; Viridiplantae; Streptophyta; Bryopsida; Funariales; Funariaceae. The record is from RNAcentral.
AUGAUUGAGUUCGUUGCCUUUGGUUGGUUAAAUCUGGGAUGUGGCCCAAUAAUCUCUGGUUCAUUACGUUACUCCCUGCUGCCAUCGUUCACUAGGCAUGGUUAUUGACUUCAGUUUUUUUUUUUGUUUUUAGCUACUUCCGAAAUUCUAUGGACAGCAUUCGUUUAUGAUCUAAAUUGUUGAAGACCAUUUAUUUUCAGGGCAGGACCGUGGGUUACCUUGUGUGUUGGUUACUGGGAAAUGGCUGCCUGUUCAGCUGGAAUAGUCUGAUUACCAUCCAAGAUUAUUUUUUGGUGGUAUUUGACGUAAGUGCUCCCAAAGCUUAAUAUUCACUUCUUUCUGUUUAAUACCAUCUUUCUUCUGCUGCAAUUGGAUUGAUGAAGCUCUUGAAUGCUGUGCUUUUGCGAAUAGAGUGUGUCGAAAGUAGAUUCUGGAAUAUUGAAAUAGAUUGUGCAAGUGGACUCUGUAUGUUGGUAAUCGAGAUGGAUGGAGCCAGAGAACUUGGCAGAAGGGGUACAACCAAUUAACCGUAGAGUAUGAAUACACAACGUUCUUGGCAUGGUACUGAUGUAAGAAAUAUGAGUUUAGACACGGUUGUUGGAAGGGGAGUAAAGAAUUGUGACUUCUUAGCAUGAUCUUAAUGGUCCUCUCUAAGGUUCCGAAUUUAAUUGACUGUGAAUCAUUCAUUAUAUAUGGUUCUAAAUCUGUGACCUGCAUUCAGUGACUGUAUGUACCAAGUUGAUGGUUGUAGAGAAACGGUAGGUCCUCUCUAGUAGGAUCAUGCAUUUGAAUUCUAGUCUUUCGAAGCACUACAAAAUGAAAGGUAGAAUGUUCAUCUCUUCUGCAUGGUAUGGAUGCUGCUGAUUCACACUCACAAACAAGGUUGGGUGGGUGUGUACAGGGUUACCAUGCAGCACGAGUGUUCACUUUGGUUUACCAACCAUUUGCACUUGGAACCAUGCUCAUCCUCACAUACCACGAGGCACGCAUCAAUACACGUUUACGUCUUAUAUCUGGCUACACGCUCUUUUUCAUCUUCAUACUGGCCAUCCCAAUCGUAAGUGUCAACACAAUAUUUGAAGGAUCGCUGUAAUAGCUAAACCCCCACAUGUAGAUUUCAUAAUUGGAUAAUAGCCUGUAAGUAUGGGAGGUGCAGAUUUAAGCGAACUUUCAUCACUGAUCGAGUAGAGGCUAAUCACCACGCUUUGAAUUGAAUGGCUACAGCUGGAUUUAGCCACCAAUGGGCAUGGAGGUAUUGGAGCAUUUGUGGGUACCUGUAUCUUUAUUGCAGGUUUUGGCGUUGCAGAUGCAUUUGUUCAAGGGGGCAUGUUCGGCGAGGUUUCCUUCAUGGAUUCAAGCUAUGUUCAGGUUUAGUCUAAUAUUCAGCAUUCUAAGUACUCUCUUGACUAUCUCUCUUUCAUGUUCUAGAGUUAUAUUUGCCAGGAGGACUUGGAGCCCCAAACUUCAUUUUCGUUCUUUCCAGCUCAAAACCCUUGAAACUAUUUUAGGGUGUACCGUACCUCUGUCUUUGAUAAGGGUUAAUAUUGCUCAGUUGUCGAAUACGUUAUAGUAGAUGUUUAAAAUUAACUGUACCCUCGAGUCAUAUGAAGUCGCACAUAUGUAACGAACAACUGCCGUCUUUGAUGAUAUUUGUAGGCGUUCAGUGCAGGCUUAGCAGCCUCAGGUGCAAUAACCUCGGGUCUUCGCUUGAUUUGCAAGUCCAGCUUCCCAAAUACAAAGGAUGGACUCCGUAAUAGUGCUUGUAAGUAUGUCUCCUCUUGUCGCUUAAGAUAUCGUACAAGACGAAAACUUUCUUGCACUUAGCUAGACAAUUUUUUGUUUUUUGUUUUUUGUUUUGUUUUGUUUUGUUUUGUUUUUUUUUUGUAGAGAGCAUUAAAUAGAAUCGUCAACGCAGACUCCUUAACUUUGAUAAGCUCUAAUUGUGAUAGGAUUCUGCCUCUGGAUUACCAUUGUCAUGUUUAUUUUUUAAUGAACAGCUCUAGAACUACCUAUCAGCUCCCCAGUGUUGCACACGUUGGUCAUAUAUGUCUCAAACUCUCUCCAUCAAGUUCGCUCUAAUGCUGAGGCUCUUGUAUUGCAAUCAGUGGUGUUCUUCUUCAUUUCGGCCUUCUUUGAAUUUACGUGCAUUCUCUUGUACGCCUACGUGUUCCCACGUUUGGCUUUCGUGAAGUACUUCCGAACCAAGGCUGCAUCUGAGGGAUCUCUUACGGUAUCUGCUGAUCUGGUGGCUGUCGGCAGCACUACCUACAGAAAUGAAACAGUAAGCUAAACCUUCAAUUUUUCGAGGCUAAAAUUUCGUGUGCAGUUUGAUUCCACUGUGCAGAGCAAUUUCAUACUAAAUCUACUCCCUUUGUCCAGCUUUCAGAAAAUUGUGACUUUAAACUACGUUCAUGGCAGGACAAUCAACAAGGUAUGAAGGCCUUGAUGCCGCUGGAACGUCUGACAACCUCGCAAUUGCUUGCAAAGAAUGCCGAUUAUUGUUUCAUAAUAUGCUUCUGCUUCACUUUGACACUUUCGAUCUUCCCCGGCUUCCUGGCUGAAGACACAGGGAAACAUCAUUUAGGCACAUGGUAAUGCUUUCCCGCUGCUUAACAACUCUGUAGUGAACUAUAACAUGAACCUUUCACUGUUUUUGAUUACUUUGGAAACGUGAUAUGAAAGUUGACAUGUGAAACGACUUCCACUCGUUUUCAGGUAUUCUGUAACACUAGUAGCAAUGUACAACGUUGGGGAUCUGCUGGGCCGCUACAUCCCAUUGAUUGAUAGCCUUUUGCUGAAAUCACGCCCAAUGCUGCUUCUUGCUACGCUCUCUCGAGUUGUAUUUAUCCCCGCGUUUUAUUUUACAGCCAAGUAUGGGCCGCAAGGGUGGAUGAUCAUUUUGACCACCUUACUGGGAGUUUCGAAUGGUUACGUCACUGUGUGCGCUUUCGUAGGCGCACCAAAAGGUUAUUUGGUACGCAACCUCUUUACCUUUACUCCUGGCUAACAUCACCAAUUCUAUUUGACAUUCAGCGAUCCUAGUGUUCUGCACAUAGUUCGACUAUAUCAUUAAUCGUCGCAUGUGAAGUUUUGGACGAAGCAGCUAUUGAUCUUGAAGGAAUUGAAUCUGAGUUUUGAUGCAGGGACCGGAGCAAAAUGCCUUGGGGAACAUUCUCGUUCUUUUUCUGGUUAUUGGCCUCUUUGUUGGAGUCGUUGUCGACUGGUUGUGGCUGAUCGGAAAGGGUUGGUAGAAGUACAGGUGUUCGAAAACUUGAAUCAGGUCCAUUACCUCAUUCCUUUUGAAUAGGGAGAUAUCGGGUGCAGAGACUGGAUUUGAAGGUCCAUGGUCGUAAUUUAGUAACUUAUGUGUAGAGUGUAGAGACUGAAAACGGUUAGAGAGCAUUGUAAUCCAACGCAAUGACGCCAAAUUAUGCAGUGAAGUUAUGGCAUGCAAUUGUACAGGAUUCGCCAUGGGAAAAAUAACACCACAGUCGAAUUCUUGACUCGUAUCAUUGACCUAGUUGCCAUCACAAAUGAUACGGGGUAGUUUUCGUGUAUUCCUGCCAAGUGCGGCCUUUCAAUAUUUGAAAUUGUGAAGAAAUUGCAAUACAGAUGGAAACUUUGAAAUUCAAGUACAUCAGAAAAACCACGGUGGGUCUAGUUUGUCGACAGGAUCAAUUUUUGGUUUAGGAUGCAUUUAGAGGCCUUUUCCACGAGUAGUGGCUUCUAUACCAUCCGGCAGCAUGCUCUGUCAACCUCUUGUGUCGCACUACCCCACAAACAACAUGAGAAAAAUCUUGGCGCACAAAAUGGCUAGAAGAUUCCAACUUUUCACAAUGCGUAGCUUUUUAUGAUACCUCAUGUUUCCCACCUGACUUCUACCAUCUGUUAUUACAAGGCUCCAUGGGGUCAGUCAUUCUCGAUUCUACCGUUUCAUGAGGGAAUCAUUCAUACUGUAGUCAUGGGUCACAAUACGCUGGCAGCUGCCUGUCAUCACCUCAUCUCUAGCAAGAGAGCGAGAGGACACUAAAUUAAGUAAUGAACAAUUGUGUGAACCCAGAUGCAGUCCAGUCAACAUAACAUCGAGACAUGAACUUGUCGUUCAUGCCGUGAAACCAUAGUGACGUUUCUGCGACAAUCCAUAUCCAGUCUACAGUGCUAUUUGAUAGAAUAGAGAAUACAAUUCGAAUCCUCUGGAAUAUAACCCACUUGUAAUGUUCUUGUAAGCUGAUUUAUGUUUCACUAGAUUUUUCUGUGUAAAUGACACUUAUGCCGCUGUUCUGAAAGAAAUGGUGUGCUACUAUGCACCUCAAGUCUUCGCGACUGAGAAUGGCACAGCUGCAAGACACUCAACAAGCAAAGGAUGCCUGACCCACUCAAGGGCCAUAGGUACCGGUAGGUGGGCAUAACUUUUGUCUAACCAAGGACUCUUUACAGAUUCGUGGUCUGCGUCUAAUGAACGCAAUAGGUUUUCCUGUGGACCAAGUUCAACAAUAGCCCACUCAUGGUGAGUGAUUGGGUACAUAAGCGAGAAACAGCACAAAAAUAGAUGUGUGGCAAGUAAACCUAGCUCAAACCCUCACUGUUUGCUUAGUGCAAACCAAGCAAAGCAUACACACAUAUCUCGAAGUCCAACCAAUUCGUCGUAUGCGUGUAUCUACGUACAUCCCACCGAUCGGUACACCUGCAUCUGCCGACCGUACGACAGAUUACUCUCGUGAAACGACCUCAUUUCUGAAUCUUCAUGGAAUCAUACCGCCGUUUGCGGCGCGCCUGAUUCAAGAGCUUGACGAUAGGGGUGUGAAAACAACGUUUACUAUAUAUAUGAAGAAUUGGACUUUCGGCUAUCCACAAAUCGUCGAGUGGACUGUAACACGUCAAGUUGCAUGCAUCACGCCUCCUUGUCCACGUCAUAAUGGGUGAUUGGAAAUUCCGACAAGAGCAGACCAGAUUUCACCAUACAAAUAACAGAACCAGAAGCUGUUGCCAACUCUGACCAGUACACCGUUCACAGACAUGGUUGGAAAAUAAUGGCGAGUAUGGAACAGGCAGAGAGCAGGACUGUUCAUUAUGUGUUUAUUCACCCCUUACAAAUCUUGCCCAAUGUCAGCUGCAACCCCUAAUCUGCAUUAUGCACAGUAUUAACCGUGUUCUUUAGUUUUGUCUUCGCCAACUUUCAUGUGCAUAAUGAGCUUUACAUGGGUUGAUUCCCUACCCUUUCAAUCCAUUACAAUAUACCGCUGACGCCCAUACAUUCUCACAUGUCCUCCAACAAAAUUGUUUUAGAACUUUGCAUACCACGACUAUGUGAAGAUAGAACUACGCCACGCCACAGCACGCCACUCGAUGAUCUGUGGGAUGUUCGCCUCACAGCCACUCCAAGACAAUUACCGUCUCAAGCAAAUUCCUGAGAGCGCCUCACAAUCCUCCUCACCUUGCGCUGGAACUCACUUCUCUGGUCUCGCCACUCCUUCGCUGCAUCAACAUUCGCAGGAGACUCGUCGUUCGGGUUCGAAAGCAUGGCAAUGAUGCUGAUCAAUAUGGUCUCCACAGUGUGCACGGGCGACCAUCGCUCGCUGGCCAGCUCAUAGCCGUUGGGAUCAUCCCCAGGAGCAUGAAGAAUUGAGAUACACACACGACCAUCGGGGUACACGUUCGGAUGCCACAUCUCGGAGGUGAACCGAACAGACGGCGGGCUGUUGGGGUAGUCGGAAGGAAAACUCAUGAUGGCGUUGAAGAAACCCCCCUCGUACAGAGUCUCACACGGCCCGAUAAUGGUCACGUUCCAUUCAAACACGCUGGAGUCGUCCACAAGCCCUGCCGAGAACCCAUCCACUGGAUUUCUGGACAAAUCUUUCAGCUGCUUCCGCAACAGAAGUCUCGCCUGAUUCUCCGCCAUAGCUGUGCAGCAGAUGUCCUAAGAGACCCACUCUCAAACUAACACACCCAGAAGCACAACCUUCACAAAAACUUUGUGAAACCCAACCACACGCCCUCUUCCCCACCUCAAUCACUCGCACCACCUUCCCUCUCACUCACAAAGCAAAAUAAAUUGCACCACACCGUAGGUGUUGAGCGCCGACCCAAUCAGAACAGAUUGACUAGCACCAGCUCCAACAGUUUGAAAGCUAAGCAGCGAUUAAACGCUGGAGGAACGAGGACAAGCGGCCCUCUCUCGGUGUCUCCGAGAGGAAGAUGAACACAAUACCGACCUAGAGUACAAGGAUCUGCUCAUCUCUUCUAUAUAACAUUCCAAUCAGUGGCAUGCUGCCGUCCUCCCCUGAAAGCUGCCAGCCGUCUCAGCAUUACUUUGAUGAGCUGAGCUAAACUUCAGCUUCUACUUUGUGCUUUCUAGGGUUCUAAUCAACCAUGACGUACGCAUUAUUUUAUACAGUUAAAAAUCUAAUGACGGUUAUUAAAAAGCAUUUCUCGUCAUCUAGAACCUUGUGACAAAUUCAGGUUUCACCCGCAACGAACACCUUUCUUAAACAAAGUAUUGAACAAUCCACAUUCUAAUGCAUAUACCCAGUACUGAAAUUAUACUGCUGGUGUCGGAAUUUGUUAUGCAUCACCCACAUGGUAUUACUAAUUACGAUUUACGCUGUGACUGGGCGAUUUGAUGCCUGAGCUCGUUCCUGACUGGCAGUAAUGGGCGUCAAGCCUUUCGAGAAAAAUCAACUAUCACUUGUUGCUGCAUCCUAAAAGGUUUUACACCCACAAUCGUCACAUGCAUACUGGAACUUGGAUUCAACAGUUCGUCCACCAGAAUGGAAAAAAGCACAUGAGUUUGGACGGGAAAAAAUCAUCGUUUACGGAGCCUUGAUCUAUCAGAAGUUCCAUGACAAUGGUAAUGGUAUUGCUCUCAGUCCAUGGAAUUUUCACAUUUCACGCUAAUUUGCCCAGUCGGCAGAUACGGCCAAAGUCUCGCUACACUUCCUCCGAUCGUCCUGCUCCAUGACAUGUGUGAUCGCUCUACUCCUUCGCUUGCAAGCUUGAACUCUCGUUUCCGGCUGAAUUUUGCGCAGAUUUCGCAGUAUUUGGUUCAGGUAAAUCAUGGUGGUUCUCUGCCGGGUGAGCUAUGGCUACAGGUUGGCUUUCUUGCUCCCGAAUGAACUGUGAUCGAAUUGCAAACUGGAUUUCCGUUGUGUCAUGUCGUUGGGUAUGCGACUGCACAUUUAUAUUAUCGUGGUGCCGCGAGCAGGAAGUGAGUGGCACCAGGUGAAUUCUUGUAUGCGAAACUCAUGUGGUGCAUCGCGACGUCGUGACUCAGUGUCGCAGGAUAAGAUAUGAAAUAUUGUGCAUAGUUAGGAAGUGUCCUCCAGAGGUUAAAGUGAUUUGACCAUGUCAAUCGUCUGUGCUAGAACAUAUGUUUUUCUUUCGUUCUGUUUUUUCUUCGCAUUUGAUGAGAGCUUUAUCAGCUUCAUCUUCUAAGCAAUAUUCGACUUGUGCAACCUUGAUCGCAGCCGUGAAAGGAUUGUUUUCACACACACGGGAAACCUUCGGUAAAGAAGUUGCCAAGAACAAAGAAAUAAAAAGGGUGGCCGGGAUGAAGUUGUGCAUAUUUUUUCCACAGAAGCAAUAUCAACCGACUGGGCAAUGGUAGGCUAUUAGAACGCAAAGCAAGCCACUACUUUGAAACGCCUCAAUCUUGAUGAAAGAUCGACGGAUUCUAGUUUCUACGUUUCUGGAAAACUUCCCAAGGCAGCCUGUAAAUGUUGGUCUGGCUACACUAAUGGUAAGCAGUACAAAUUCUCUUGAAACCUUUCUUUGACCAUAUUGAGGACAUUCAAGUUGCAAGCACAUUCAUAAAAAACUUUAGGGUUCGAGUUGUUGGUGGGUCUCUUCUGCCAAUUAGGGUGUCAGCAGCCGGAUGAAGAGGAGCAUCUGUGUUCAUGGCAGCUGGUCAAGUGAUGGAGCAAGUGCGGAGUGGGUGAGGGAGGGAUCCUUGCACUACAUCAAGAACACUAGACGACACAGCAACGAUGCAGCAACUUCUUUUAAAACGUACUCCGCUCCGGCAAGUGACUUCUCUCAACCACAUGUGUAACUAGAUUUCAGUCUACUGUUGUUUUUGUGAUAUAAUGCUGCCGGUCCAAGAGCUUGGUGGUAUAUGCUCAAGACUUGAAGCCACAAGAACUUGCUAGUCCUCAACCAGAGGUUGCUAUUGUGGUGCGUUUCAGUGAGGACCUAAGAAGAUGAUUCAUUCAGUUUUGCAGAUAAGUGGGUCAUUUGGUACUCAAGGCAAGCAAUUGCUUGGUCAUUGCUCCUCAAUAAUGUGAUCCAUCGAUCCAUGAAACUCCAGCAAUCUGCUCUUGGGAAUGUGACUAGUCCAAGUUUUAGGUUGAAAAAUUGGCCAAUAAGUUGGCUAUGUAUUGCACAUGUUGGUAACUUGUGGUAUAAGUUGGACAUAUGUCACACAAUGGGUUUAUUUUAACUUUGUUUUAAACACUUCACCUUGCAAGAGCCUUGACCCUCUGUAGAUGUAUAGUAUUUAUUUACACAGUUCAAGGUUGCUCUUUGGUGACUUUUUGGAACCAAUUUCUAAAAUUUAUCACAAGAAUGUUGCAUAGCUCUCUUGUUGCAUAGGUCUCUUGUUGCAUAGCUUCAUACUUUGUUGUACAAAAAGGGGAUCAUUUUCUCAUCUAUUUCUAAGUAGAUGAUGACCUUGCAUCUUACAAGGCUUUUGUUUUGGAAUAUGAAAGAAGUAUUUGUUUCAAGUAGACAAAAAUCGGAUUAGCAUAGUUGAUAAAUUAUGAUAUUGAGUAUAUAGGUACAAUCAUUUUUUUUGGUGUUAUUAUUAUUUGUUCAAAAAAAUUAAAUAAUAAAAAAAUAAUUUAAAUUCUACAAGACUUUUUUAAAGACCAAUCAAUAAUUUGAAAUCUAAAAAUCAAAAAUAAAAUAAAAAAAUCAAAAGUUUUAUAUAGUCAAAAAAUUUGAUAUUAUUUAUUUUAGAUUCUUAAAAGUUGUGUAAUCAUAUUUGAUUUUUAUUUGUAAAAUAUAGCUAUUGGAUACAUGAUUAAGCAAAUAUGUAAAAUUGAGACUUAUCCUAUGAUAUUAUAUUAGUAUGUAUAUUAAUUUGAGAUCUUUCAACAAUAAGAUUAAUAAAAGAAUUGAUGGUAUGAAAGAACUUUAUAAAAUUUAAGAUUAGAAAGGACUCACAAUCUUGAUCUUUAUUUGAUGUAUUUGAAAUUUACUACAAAUUAUUUGUUGGCUUAUAUUAGCCAUGAUUAAAUAUAUUAAUUAAUAAAAUUUUCUUUUAUUCUUUUAUAUUCAUAAGUUAGAUUCUAAUCAACAUGUUUUAAACUAAAGAUAAACUCUAAAUAUAUUUAAAGUAAAAAAAAAAAAAAAAAAAAAAAAAAAACUAUUAUUUUGUAUUCAAAACUUUUGAAAUAUUAUUUCCAAUUCAAUUUUAUGAAGGUAUAAAUGAUACUUUUAAUAAUGGUUUUUAUUUUUAUUCCAUUUAUUGAUUCAUUUUAAAUCUAUUAAAACUUGAUUUUUAGAUGAUACAAUGACUCAAAAAACUAUUUUAAUGUUGACAUAUUUUGGAAAGAAUGGCAUAUUACAAAUAAAUUAUAGUGAAUAAUGAUACAUGGUUUGUAUAAUAAAUAAAGUAUUCUUUUAUAGCUAUCAAAUGAGCCCAGGUUGAAAACAAUCCAUCAAGUAAUUGUAGAGCUAUGACCAAUCUUAUUUGGACAAUAUUAAAAUAUUUUUUUGAAUGAGGUAUCCAAUUACAUAUCAGUACUUUGUAGGACCUCCUUUGGCCUUGAUAUUUUCUUCCAAUCUCUUAGGCAUACUUUCUAUUAACAUUUGGCACAAAAUUGCUUCAAUAUUAUUCUAUUCCGCAGCUAUUAUUUUCCAUAAUUUUCAAAAUCCCUUUGGUUUUAUCUUCUAGGUGUUGAACUGAUGUUUGAGGUGCUUCUAAAGAUGUUCAAUAGAAUUAAGAUUAGAAGACUGAGUAGGCGAAUCCAUUACUUUAAUCCCAUGAUGAUUAAACCACUUCCAUGCUAGUUUUGAAUUAUGCUUGGGGUUAUUAUCUUGCUAAAAAAUCACCUCCUCCUCAAAAAUGCCAAAUUCUUUAAUACUAAGGAACACGUUUUUUUCAAGAAUUUCCACGAAUUGCUUGACAUCCAUCAUCCCCUUAACCUCUGCCAUCCUUUCAACUCCAUUCUAUCCCAUAUAAUUCCAUAUCAUUAUAUUUUCACCUCCAUGCUUAGGUGUUUCUUUGAUCUUCUUGUCAAGCAAAGACUAACCUUUUUGUUUCUACACCCACUUUUUGCCAUUUGACCCAAAUCUGUUGAUUUUUGUUUCAUUUGACCAAAUAACUUUUUUCCAAACUUCCACAAUCCAUUCCUUGUACUAUAGAUCAAAAUUCAAGCAUUGUUUUUAAUGGUGGAUAGAAAGUAGUGACUUUUUCUUCUUCACCAUAGCUUUCAUAUUCCAUUUCUUGAGAACAUUUCAAUGGUUUGGGUUGACACAAGAUUAUUGAUAAUAUUGUUAAGGUUUUUAGCAACUUCAAUAAUAUUUUCAGCCUUAUCAAUGUUAAUUUGGCAAAUGAUUUUCCUUUCAUCUACUACAAUGAGCUUCUUUGGUCUGCCAAAUUUAAGGUUCUUCCUAUUAAAAGUGAUCUUUUUUACUAGCCUAAAAAUAGUAGCUUUAUUGCAACUAAGUUUAGAAGCAAUUUGGCGAUAAGAUUUUUGAGAAUGAAGAAGAACAAAGGUGAUGUUAUCUUCAAGAGAGGAGAGAACAGGUGUCAUAGUUGUUCAAGGAAUUGUCAAGGACACAAGAAUGUGCCAAAGAAAUAUGUCAAGAUUAAAGACAAAGAAUGAGAUUAAUAGCAAAAGUGGUUCCAAAGACUCUUAUUUAUAUUAUAAUGAAGAUUACAGAAGUUUAUGGUACUAUCUAUGGAAGUUUCUAAAAUUCUAAAGAAGCUUCUAGAAGCCUAUAGAACUUUCUAAAAGAUUAUAGAAGAUUCUAUAAGUAUCUAAAAGAUUCUAGAAAUUUACAAAAGAUUUUAGAAGAUCCUGAAAUGUGGUAAUUUGGAAUAUAUCCAUGCCAUGAAUUGUGAUUAAGAAUGGUGCUUUUAUAGCUGCUAGUAAGCAUUAAUGAUGUCAUUAGAUUAGUAAUAAUAUUUUUAUAGUAAAUUUGAUGAUAAUAGAAUGUUAUAAUAUUGAGUAAUUGAUAGAAUCCAAAAAUUAGAAACCACAUUCAAAAAAUUGUUUCAAUACUACUCCAAAUUAGAUUGGUCAUAGCUUUGCAAUUAUCUAAUGGAUUCUUUUCAAUCUGGGCUCAUUUGGUAGCUAUAAAGGAGUAUUUUAUUUGCUAUAUAAACCACAUGUCAUUAUUCACUACAAUUUAUCUGUAAUAUGCUAUUCUUUCUAAAAUAUUUCAACAUUGAAACAGUUUUUUGAGUCGCUAUACAUUAAAGUUUCAAAAUUAAUCUUAAAAUAUACAAACUCAAUGAAUAAAAAUUCUAAAAAGAAAUUUAUCUCAAUUUAUUUUAUUAUUUUAUUAAUAAUGAUAAAUAUUUAUAUAUUUUUUAAAAAUUUAAAACUAAAAUAAAUGUAGUAAAAAUUUAAAAAUAUUAUUUUUUAAUUAGUGGUAUAUUUAUUUUUAAUAAAAAUCUUAAUUCAUUUGUUGAUAAAAUUAGUAUAAUCGAUAUUACUAUGUUUCAUCCAUUAAAGUGGACAAUGACAAUAUUGUUGAUGUCACUUCUAUAUACUCAUAAAAGUACUAUCUUAUAAUAUAUUUUUCUAUAAUUUUACAAAUGUAAAAAUCUUAGAUUGGAUAUCUAGUGUCUUUGCCUUGUCUUUUGUUUAUGUUAUAUAUCUAUAUAUAUAUAUAUAUAUAUAUAUGUAUAUAGUCUAAUGAAAAUAUUAUUUAUUUGUUUACUAAAGCUUUAUAUAUAUAAACCAACACUACAUUUUUUUUUAGUAGUAUUAACUUAUUUUUUACAUAACAUAAGAUUGAACAUUAAUAAUUAAUAAAUCCAACUUAGAUCAUGUACUCUAAUACUUCAGCAGCCAUAUUUUUCUUGUGUAGGACUAGUAUUUACUUUCAGUUUGGUUGUUAAAAGAUUUAGGUUCUAUUCUAUUUUCUUGUAUUCAAUAUAAGUUAACAAUAAAGUUUCAUAAAAUCAUUUGGAAGUAUUAACAAUGUCUUAAUUGCAAAAUACCAUCUUGUUUUUCUACAAUGACUUAAUAAUUAUUGGAAGAAAUCAUUUAAAUAAGGUCGGUGUCUAUUGAUUAUAAUUAGAUGAGACAAAAGUAAACCAAUUUAACAUAUCUUAUUUUCUCAAGAAAUAUUCUUAUAUCACUAUUAAUUAUGUAUUUUGAACAUUUGUGUUGGCUUAACAUCAAGAAAAUAUUUAGUAUUAGAGAUAGCUACUAUGUGUUUUGUGUAUUGCUUAAGUAUUAUGAAGCAAGAUUUUUCCUAUUAUCUAUUAAUAAAACUUCUAAUUUUAAGGCUUAAAGAAGUAUCUUUACUACAUUGGUAAAGUAAUUUAGUAAAAAAAAAAAAAAAAAAAAAAAAAAGAUAAGACAUGGGUUAGUCUCUUAUCAAAGUACAAAAUUUUGAAAUAGUUUUCUUACUUGUACAUGUAGUAAUGAUUGUUCAUUUUUUUUCAACUCUAAAUUCUUUACUUCUGGUUGCUAAGCCAAACUAUUUCAAUUAUGAGAGAAUAAUAAAGACAUUUACUUCAUCUAUUGUUAACAAAAAUAAAUAAAUAAAUAAAUAAAUGUAGAGAUUUCCAACUUGGAUUAAUAUAAUCCCUUUAGUAGUAUACAAAGUAAUUAAGAUUCUUUGUAAUGUAAUAAUGAGGUGACCAAUAACAAAGAAGUCAUCUAAGUAAUAGAAGUAUUUAGAGUAUUAUUGUAUUGUAUUCAUGGUACCUUUUUUGCUUAUAGCUUUUGCUUUGACCAUAAGCAAAUGGCAUUACCAAUUUUUAGGUUAUCUAGAAAAUGAUAAAAUCAAAUAUACUUUUAUUUUUAAAAAAUGAUAAAAAAGAAAUAUUUGUAUUCUUUUGAUUGUGCAUUAGGCUUCUGGAUUUUAAUGUUAAUAUUCAUUUUGGUUCUAUAAAGCCUACAAGACUUUGUUUUAGUGAUAUUAGUCUUAGAAUAUUUCAAAUUUGAGUGGUGUUUACAAUUUAAGAAUGUGAUAUUAUUGGACAACAUGUAUUAAAUGUAAUACAAGCUAUUACUUGUGGUACAGUGUUACUUUUGUCCAAGUAGUGCUUAUUUUUAAUGACUAUAAUGUACACUUAUUUAGCUAGUAUGCAUUACUGUUACAGAUUUGUAGAUUCCAAGCCACUGCAUUCUUCUCAAAACCCAUUGCAUUCUUUUGGAACCCAUUGCAUUACUUGGAAAAUAAUUGUACAUGUUUUCUCAAAUAGAAUAGAGACAAUGCCAUUUCUUAGAAAUGCCAGUAUCCAUUGACAAAUUUCCUACGGAUUAUAGAAGUUGCUAGUGUUUGUAUUAAAUACUUUUGGGGGAACACAAAUCUGUUCAACCAAGGGCAGUAAUCUAAUAUCUUGGGGAAUUCUGAAGUGAAUAAAGUACACAUUGGUUCACAAAUGUACAAGCAAAAGAACGUGACUAGUAGAGAAAUUGCACACUUGGAAGUAAGCAUUAUGGAAAGCUUCAAUGCUCUACUCUGCUAUGACACGUGCUUACUCGUAAUUUACAGGUGCGCUGGAUUUCAAAGAGUUUUAUCCCCUUUUUGCAUUCGGUUUUGUUGCCUUCUGCUUGGUUGCUGCUUUACGUGACUCAAACAUGCGACGCUUCAACCGGCUUUUUUGCUUGUCUACAAUGCCAGCCUUUCGGAAAUACUCUGAAGCCACUUCCUUGUUACCUAUAGCUUCUUCUGUUAGAGCAAUUUCCUGUACAAAAAAAAAGCAUCAAUGAAGUAUGAGGUCGUGUUCAUAAUAACUACAUGUUGACAGGUUCAACCUAACAGUGCCAAAUUUGACCUUAGUUCAGACUGAUAGUCGCAGAGACUCGACACAAAACAUGGCAGAUUAUUAGAUCAUUGUUGGAACUACUUCGAAAAGAAAGGUUCUCACCAUCAAAACAGCAGCAUUCUCAGGCUCCAGUGAUAAUGCAGUCAUCAGCAGUUUCUGGGCAGCAAUCAAGUUUCCAUUGACACGUUCCAUGUGUGCGUAGGCCUGUCCAUAAGACCACCAAACCAUCAUAAAACGGAUAUCAAAUGAUCAAAGAACUUGACUAUCUCACACCUCAACUUUGCAACCUGAUAGAUAAUGUAACCACAGGCUUAGAUUCAGCGACAGUUACCUGAAGACAAGGAACAUUCCGAGGAUUAGUUCCAAGACCUCUUUCAAAGAGGAUUCGAGCGCCUGUCAAAUUUCCAGCAUUUUGUUCCAGUAAAGCCCAUGCCUGCGCUCAAGAUCAAGACACCUAUCAAAAAGCAUCUUAAGUUACAGAAUGUCACUCGAUGUGACGGAAAUUCUGUCAAAAAUGCAAACAACGAUUACUCUAGCCAUACCUCUUACUGCAUCAUUUACAUCAAUUUAUGUGAGGCAGAAAAAAUGAAACAGUACCUGCCAAGAAUGCAUGCUGUUCGGGUUCACUUCCACACAUCGUUGAUACAAUUUACGAGCACGUUCCCUCGCUGAAUCUGAAUUUAUCAAAGAUUCUUGAUGCGCCCAAGCCUGGCGUUUCAGGUGCAUGAGUACGUUACAGUUGGGUAUUGUGAAAGAAAGUGUUGUGAUAAUUUACGUCUAACACAAGAGAGUGUUCUUCAUAAACGACUGCAUUGGUUAGGUGAAUUUCAAAUUGUCAGAAACUAAAAUGAGCAGACCUGUAAUGCGUGAACAUUUUCAGGUUCCACGUCAAGCGCUUUCUGAAAAAGUUGCCUCAUUUUUCUUCGCUUGCCUUGAUUAGACUCAAAUAACGCCCAUGCCUGUUAACCAAAGACCAAGCUGAUGAUAAUUACACACAGUACCCACAUGAUCGGGACACAUGAUGUUGAGACAAACUAAGUUAACCCUGAUUUAGAGGUUCGUACGUUCUCAGUCCGGCCCUAACCCACCAAACUACACAAAUGUGCGAAUGAGAAGUUUUAAUCAAGAGCACAACGGGAUUCAGAUUGAUGAUGACAUUCUUGAACAAACAGAGCUCUUGAUUCAUAAUCACAUUAUUCAAGGUGACUAGACUACUAAAGGAGACUUCGAGAGUCAUCAAAGUCGAUGAGAUUUAGAGUUCCACUUUCAGUCACAAUGGGUAUUAGAUUGGUGCUCACCUGCCAGCAUUUCACAUCUUCUGGGGCUGCCUCCACAGCAAGUCUAAAGUGAUAACGAGCAGCAGCAUAAUUGUGUACUCGUGCUUCUAAAAGAGCUCUAGUCUGGUGAACUACUGAAUUUCCAGGUUGUAUGCUUGCAGCUCUUUCCAGUAAUUCCCUAGCUUUGCUCCAAUUACCUAGCUUUUGUUCUAGCAUAGCCCACCCAUGUAAUCCAUAGACACCCGCUCCUUUCAUUUCUAGAACUCCAUUCUUCUCUCCUCUGUGAGCAACUCUAACAGACUCUAGAUAUAGAUAUCUAGCUCUGCUGGCAUUACGAGCCUGCGCUUCUAAAGAUCCCCAUCCUUGCAAUGCUUUAACAUAUUUCAGACCAUAAUCUUCUUGUUUCUGAAAUGCUCCGAUGGUUCUCUCGUAAUACGCUCCAGCUGCAACCAUAUCCCCUGCCACCCACCAAGCCUUCUUUUUCAGUAUUUUGACCCAACCGGCAUAUCAACAACAUUAGAUUCUUGGUGAGCCACACUAAAAAAGACAUCGCAAGAUUUCACAUAAUUCAAGGCUAGAGUUGUUACCUCUUUUCCGUUCAAGUUGAGCCAAAUGAAACAUCACAUCUGCACUAUCUGGAUGCUUCAUCGCUAGCUGCCAGAACAAUCACGAUUAUGUUAAUAACGACAACGACCCAAUAAUAGGAAUGAUAAUAACAAUAAUAAUAUUAAGAAUCCAUCAAUUAGAAGGCCAUGAGAUCUAACCUUAAGCAGGAUUCCUUGUGCACCUACAACAUCACCUGCUGCAAGUUGCUGUCGUGCAGUAGUUAACACCCUAUCAAUGUCCGACUCAACAUCUGUCACUUCGGAAUGCAACUCCAUCGCGUCCUCUUUCUCAUUCUCACCAAAAGUUGAAGAUUGCCAUCCAUCUGUUUGAGGGGUAAUUAAGUCCGAUAAACUACUGCCAACAGAGAAGUUUUUCUUAUCUGCUAAUACAGAAGCAGGUUUAACAGGUUUAGCAGGUUUCGUUGGCUUGGCCAGACUUGGGACGCUACUCCUGUUGCCGUUGCUACAGCCAUUGCUGCUACUUGUUGAGCCUUUCACGGAGUCAUUAACCCUGUCUAUCCACAUCUGCCGUUCUAGCUCUUUAGAAGAAUUGUCCGGCUCCUGUACACUUGGAGAGGGGCUUGCAAUUCUGUUAGACUUAACCGUCAUUUCUGUAGCAUUUGCUUCAGGGGGUAUCAUUUGAUCAACUUGACUAUCAAUGCCAUUUGCGGUUGGAUUUGCAGCAGUUGUCAAAAGCCUCUGGUCAAGCUGUGUGGUAAAUUGCCUAUCUACUCCAGCAAGAUUAUCAAAUAACUUGACCUGCAGCCAUAUUUAAGUAGUCAGAUUCGAGAAACUGAUGUAUAUAAAUAUCAGUUGAUCUCUACUCAAAAUUACAUCUAUGUCCUACUGAAAGUACUCAAAUACCGGACGACUCAGGUACAACAUAAGGGGUCACCUGCCGACGAAAGUUCUUGAAUUCCUCUGCGUUAACAGACCCAUUAAAGUUGGAGUCCACAAGAUUCAUCAGCUCAUUAGCAUCUUCCUCAUCACCUCCGAGCUCGCUAAUAACAUCCUUGAACUCGUCCAUACUGAUUACCCCAUCAGUAUUUCUAUCAAACAGGGUAAACAUUUGGUCGUCAAGUUUCUUCUGUGCAUCUUCCUCCCCAGCCACUUCAACCAACUCAUUUGUUAAAUCUGGAAAUCUGGUUGAUGCCACAUCAGCUGCUGCUUGCAUUAUAGCCUUGAGAAUACCUGCCUGCAUAGAUGCAACUCGCCAACAUGGAUCACAUGUUAAUACUGGAAAAGAAUACUGCAUUGAUUAAUUCAAAUUCUGUCACCCACUUGCCAAGCAUCACCUCCUGACUGUUAAAAAUAUCACUAAGACCUGUUUACGAAGUGCAUUUGAACGGGGUACAGCCUUCACGCUAGAAACAUAGCAGCGGCUAAAGUCAUGCAGGAAGCUAUUCACCUGGUCAGGAUCCGUUAGUCCACCUUUGUAUAGCGAAUGAGAAGCAAGCCCACCCUCUGCCAUCUCAUCCAUCUCUGCAGUGCGAAUCUGUAUUUCCAUUAGAGGUGACCAAUUCCCACGAGUACUCAGAGACACAGCUGAAUGCAGACUCUCAUAACCAUUCUUCUUCGGCUCCGUGAUAUAAUCCUUCAACCUUCCAGGAACCUCCUUCCACAAAGUGGUCGCAAUUUCCAAAGCUCUGUAGCAAGCCCUUGCACCACGCUCCUUCACUGGGCUGGUCCCCGAUUUUCUAGGGGUCAGGACCACCCUGAGGCCUAAAACAUCAAAAACCUCUUCUGGUGGUCUACCAUCUCUGAGUAGCUUCUUCAUGGUACUGUAUUUACUCUUGCAUCUACCCGAUAUUUCGAUUCCUUCUACCAGGGAUUGCAUUUCAGAGUCCUCUUCCAAGGCGCUCUGCAAGUCUUCUUUGCACUGUUGGACGACCUCAUGACCAUCAGCGAAGUAUUGCUCAAGCCAGCCUCCGAUAUACGUAUAGGAGUCUGGAAAGAGAACCCUGAAGCCAAGGUCUUCCAAUUCGUGACUGAGUUUGCCAAUGCCCAUAGCAUGCGCGACAGGCGCAUAAAUUUGCAUAGUUUCCAGAGCAAGCAUCUGUUGCUUAUAUCGUGGAAGAGAUUGACUGUGGCGCAUGAUGACUAAUCGGGCUGCGACUUCCACCACCACAGCACGCACAUCAUGAAACGCAAGGCAGAAUUGGCGAGUGGCUUGAACUGAGGCUUCAUCGAGAGUGUCCAAGAGAGAAGGCAUAUGCUUGACUCGACCACAAUCUUUCAGAAGAAUGGCUACUUCGUUACACAGAACAGUCUCCACUCUUGCAGUGUCAAGGUACCCUGCUUCGAAAACCUCCCGGAGGAGACCUGCUGCAAUCACCUCUGCGUCCAUCUAAUGUACCACAUGAAACGGUACUGCAGGUUAUAAUCUUUCAAAGGGAUCGAUUCUACGAACAAGUGAAAUACAACUGCAAGACACACAAGUCCAUGGAUUCGGGAGGUGGGCUCACCCGAAGAUCAGCAAGGAUAAAGGCGACCGAUAGAGCACGAUUAAGAACUUCGCGGCCGUCUUCAGUGGAUGACCCAUGGCGAAGAGAGCUUACGGUCAGCUUCAGUGCGGCUAACAGAAGCGUAGAACCGUUGCUGGUCGCAAAUUCGGGAGGUAACCUCCCAGCUAAACCGUUCCACGCGCCCAUGAGCUCCGCCACUCGCUGACUCCCAGGGGUAUUGAACAGAAGCUUCGAAGACUUCGAUUCUGCUUCAACGUAUGCAUCACCGUCCCGUUUACGAACAUACCAUUGCUUUUCCGCGUCAAGUUCCACAGAACCUUGAGAGAGACCAUCGCUCGUACUACGACCAGCUCCUAAACACCAAGCCAACAUAUUCCUAGUCAGAUGGUCAGAAUGUUCUUCACAACGAUGUAAAUCACGAACAUCAGUGGAGUUGAUCAGAAUAAGUUACCUCUUUCGAAGGCCAAGAACGCACUUAUCUCCAAAGGUAUCGCAGCUUGUGCAAGGCUGGGUGCAUCGCCCCCUUGCCUCGUCUGCAAUUCUUCAGCAGAAUAGAAGGAGUUCUUGUCGAUUUCGGGAGCUUCCUCACCGUCUGCUUCGUUAAAUUCGUACUCGAAGUACAGUCUUCCCUCCUCGUCUCUCUGCACUUUAUUCCCGCUCUGUUGACUGCUCAGCCGCAACUUGAGUUUGCCUUCCCCUUUGCGCCCCUUCGUGAUACCCAACUGCUCUUCUAAAUCCACGAAACCAUUGUUCGUGAUUACCUGAACCCUCCUCCUGUCAGUCCCGGUUCUUUCUCUCCGACCUCGAUCCUUGCAACGAAGGCUCCCAUCCAACUCAUUCCCACUAUCAUACGUUUCAUGCUCUACAGAGUCCUGCACCCGCGCCUGCACAUGCGUCGGGGUCUGCUUCGGCUCCGACCGGCCGCACUCUCCAUGCCUUUUCCGAAGCUCGAGACUGCCCCUGUUACUCCUCCCAUGUCUAAAGCCGCUACUAAAAUUUUGAGACCUCUCUAACGACGAGGAGGGAACCAACAUGGCCUUGUUGCCGACAUAUCCCAAAUUGCAUGUACAAUCAGACAAUGAUGACGAAGCUGCAGCGCACGAAACCUGUAUAGUUUUCUCAGUUCUCAACUGAGACAACAGAAUGCAAAAAUACAGCAUUCAGAAAAUUGCCUUUUGCUGCAUAUUCAAGACUUGGUUGUGCUGUAAUGAGAUCUUCAGGUCCGCAGUGAUGCCAUUCUUCGUUUUAACCUUGACAAGUACAUGGCUACAGGAUGAUUAUUCAAAAUUUAGGUUUAACUCAAUAUUAGAGCAAGCCGUGGUGUGGUUUUAAAGCAGCAAUCUGAGGUAUGUAGCAGUCCGUGCUGGGCCAAAAUUGCUGUACCUGAGACGACAAUGAGUUGCUGACAGCGGGGGCUUUCGGGAGAAGCUGCAACAAUCCCGUACUGCAUGCACAUACUGCCAUUCUCCGCACUUCUUUCUACCCGCGUCUCGCAAUCCAAAUCAGUCCCGAUCUAUCAAAAGCUUAACGCAAACCUUAAUAGUCUUACACAAUCAAUUACAACUUCUAACUUCAAGAAAACUCGAAAAAUUGGAUCACAACACGCUCUAUACAAAAACACAAAAAAAAAAAAAAAAAAAAAAAAAAAAAACUUUCUGCUUCAGCUACCGUGAAUCAAUCCACAAUCAAGAUCUUCUGUGCACACAACUAAUCCACUCUCGUGUGCAGACUCCGCUCCAUUGCUCAAAAACCCAGCUGGAAAAAUUGCUCGUCAAGUAGUAACUACAAAAAUCCUACUACUAAUCCGCACUCCGGAUAGAAGCAGAAUCCGGGAAGAUAGCCGAUUCGGUGAAUUUCCGGAGGAAGUUGUCCGCCUGCUUGUCAGAUGGGAUUGCUGCAGCUGCGGAGGCUUAUCUGGUCGCAAUCUGGGAAGAGUUAGAGCAGCCUCUCUUUGCACAGUUCUCUGCGCCGUCCAUUGAGCCGAUGUUCGCAAGUAGGCCGCAAAGGAACGUAGUUCCACGCACGGUUUGGGAGAAGGACACAUGGCCACAAACUGGAAAAGCGAAGCGAGAGCACUCCGUCCGGCCACGUGAGUUUGCAAACGUGGGGUCGCGCUGGCCUCGUCAUUGCAGAUUCAAUUGAUGUGUUAAGAUUAUUAUGCCUGCCCCUCCUCGAAUUUCUGUUCCUUUAGGAGACAAAUGUGCGAUUUACCUUUUGCAAUUGCUACCGCUACCCUGGAGCCUCAAGUUUGGAUCCUCUCCCGGCCAUUAGCAGCAGGGUCCACGAGGAGAGACUAACUUUCAGAUCCACCUAUUACUCUCGCACUGCGGCACCUUUCCUCCGCAGCAUUCAUUCGUUGCACUCGUUCUUCUUUCGUUACUUCCGUGGAUUUCGAUGGUUGGUUGUAGUGUCCAUUAACUCAGAUUGCAACUCAUCGAUUCAUGCUGCUGACCUUCCUUUUUCCAACUUCACAAGACCUCACUUAACGGUUAUUCAGCAUUUCACAAGAUGUGAAUCUUACGUGAUUAACGGCCAGUUUCAGUGACGCCCAUAUUCAAAAAUGGCAACCCUCUGUAGACUGCCAACCACUUUGACGAGGUGUUCUUAGAAGUGAAGCUCAGUUACCCAUUUAGUGCUUGACUAGAUUAUGGUCAUUUAACCUUUCCACAUUGGUGCCUCGAAAACAUGUGUAAACUAUUGGGAAUGAAGAUUAUGACACAUUUAAUGAGCGAGAGUUGAACUUCUGUAAGGAAAUCGCCAACAUCUUUUGGAAAAGCUCAUGGCAACAUGCGGAAAGAGAAUGAGGGGGCAUACGGUAGUGUUAAGCGAUGCCGCAAGCAUCGAAAUGUGUAAUAUUGAUUUUACACUAGGUUUACUGGAGAAGAUUCCAAAGUAGUGGAUGUACACAGAUGCAGUAGGUUGUAGAAUCUGCCGUAGCAUCAGCGUUGCUUUGUAAAGCACGCCGGUGGAGGUGACACGAUCGGUUGCCACACUGUGCGGCACAUCAUAGCUGGGCCGUCACUAUAUCAUCCAACGUCGCUGCAGGUGUAAGUAAGAUGUGAGCUUGGUGGGAAGCUGUCAGCCUCUAGUCGGUUGCGAGAUUUGGUAGCGCAACACGCUAUGCCGCUGUCCGUCCAGCAACCUUGCAAUCCAAUCGUUGUGUGCUAUGCGAGUUAUGCAUGGCAUAACAACUCUGCAACACUUGGAGGUAGGCGUGGCGAAACUGUCCACUCCUUUUGAUGUCAUGUCUUCGGUAGAUCAAGCAGUCAUUCUGUGCGAGCGAAAUAUGAACGAGUGUACAUAGUCGGUAUCAUUCAUGGACAACCUCACAUAGCGAACGUCAUUGCUUGGCAAGAAAUUACAGCCAAGCGCUCGGAACCUGAAGCAAACAUUUCUUUGGAAUUCACUCGAGCAAUUCUAAUUCUAGAUUUUUUCAUGCGAGUAGAGAGUUCGUACAUGAUAGCCGUGUUGGCCGUCCAAUGAGUUUUAAACAAAACGUCGAAACCAGAGUGACAAAGUUCCAAAUGAUAUCUGUGCCGAACGGUAAUUCGGUCUGGCCAAGUACAAUUCCUUGAUUCAUCCGCAUGCAAACAGCUGAAUAUCAAGCAGUAGCUAUCUGUAUAUGUACGAAACUUGAAUAUCAUGACAAAAGAUGAGGUCGGUGAUGCCCUAAUGGUCAGUGCCUUCAUCCAGAGUCAGAAUUGACCGCCCGCUUUGUGCUCUUCCAAGCAAACAACAUAGGGCAUGUUUAUUGGUCCCCGAAACAGUUCCCAACUGUAUUUGCAAGGUUGUAACCAUUUGUGAAUAAGCAUCGACACCCUUGGUCCCGACAGAAGGGGUCAUUGGUGUCAAGAGCCCUUUCUUGCGAUCCAAGGCAACCGACCAGCAUGAUCCAUCACAGGGGUUUUAGAAAUGUCAACUUUUCGAACACUCACGUGUAGAUAAUUUUCUGACUUGACUACAUGAGCCGCCACGAUCAAAGCAAGAUACUAAUCAGAGCGGUGACGAAGCCACCUGUUUAAAAGUCGAAGUUGGAGGAGUUCAAGCUCACAAAACUAUUGGCUACAAUAUUGGUGGUCAGAGUGGCAAAGCUUAUCAGAAAGAACCACCAAUGCGAUACAGGAGUGAUGUGGAAUCCGAAGCAACUUGACCGGAAAUCUGAACCGUUACAGAGCUAACUACUAGACCCACGAAUGUGGAAACCGACAUGAAAAAAGGUCCUGCAAUUUACAGACCUGUCAUCAUAAACAGCCUGGCUCUUUAAAUAUUGAGCAAGUUCUGCAAUUGAAGCAAUACAGAUUAUGUGUUCAAAGCCAUUUUGACACACCCUUGCCAUAGCCUUGAAUGCUAACAGUUCACGUCAAGCUUCUGAAUAAGAAAUAGAAAUGAAAUUAGAGGUGAAUCGGAGGGUUCACUUGGAAUUAAUGUUGCAGCGGACAUUGACAAGCAGAGCCGGAAAGAAGGCUCAUCGUAACUGAAAAUUGGACUGAUUGAUUUCUCAAGCUCCUUUUGCAAAUCUCAGUUCCACCAAUCUUACAAGAGCAUUCAAAGCAACGUUGACCUAAAGUAGGUGGGUUUUUGGGGUGCCCAUGGAUAGGUUGCCUAUCAUAUUACAGCAUUUAGAUUUCAUUCUUUGUUUAUAAACGAGGUUCAAGUUGCAAAAAGCCAUGAAAAUGAAGCAACUAAAGUACCACAGAAUAGGUUCUUUCUAAUACAAGCCUUCUAAGAGGUGGAAUUCUAUUUUUAGAUGCCACUUUAUCCACAAACAAUUUUACUACUUCAUCACAAUCAAAAACACCUUAGAGAGUGCUAGGCAAUGGAUAUCAUGUAUCCAAUGUGUUGAGUAGGUGUUUUAUUGUCAAGGAAGAGCAUUACAAAGUCUUAGACAUAAUAUAAAGUAACUUUGCAAAUAAACUUUGGAAAUUUAAGACCAUGAUGUAAACGGUGAAGUUGACAUGGUCCAUAUGUGUUUUGUAUCUGUUUUAAGAAAGAUAAUGUGGACAAGAUGAACAAGGUGAUAUUUAAAGAUUAUCAAAUAAAAAACAAGAUAAUAUAAUUGCUACCAUUCAAAGCUAAAUUGCAUUACAAGUAUCACAUGGAGUAGCGCAUUGCAAUUUGAUUAGAAAAUCAAGGAUUGUUAACUGCUUACUAAAAGACAUUCUUUAAAGGAAAGUAGAAGAUGUCAAUAGAUGCAUUUUUAAGCGUGGACAUUAGAAAGUUAUACUUCAUCAUUAAUGCUCUAAUUAUCAAUAGUGUAUUUACAAACUUUUUCUAUUUCUUUGAAGACAACAUUAAAGAUAGUGAUUUUGAGUCAAUCUCAAAAAUAAACACCUUGAAGUUGUUCAAGUUGGAUGAUUUUAACUCUAAAUAAUUGGUUAUAAUCAAGAAUCUAAUGAUGUAUUUUAACAUGGCUACUAGAACAAAAAGGAUAAAUGAAGAUCUUUAUUUGAGAAUGGCCUAAUUGAAGGUUUAAUAGAAAAUUAUUUUAGAAAUUAUAAGUAAAAGUUACGAAGAAAUAAAAAUAUUAAAAAAAUGUAUUUAUUAUUUUUUCUAUUAAAAGAGAUUUUAUUUAAUUUAAAAGAAUUUUAGGUGCAUUGGUUAUGAACAAAUUAAAUUUGUAUAGAUUAUGCAAGAGCUAUGUUGAGUUAGAUUUUGGUUUGAUUUGGUUGUCUUUGUUUUUUAAGAUUAAAGUAGACUUUUUAUUUUGGAUACUUUGUAAAUUUUAUUAUAGAUCUAUAGGUGAAAUUUUUGGAUUUGUAUAUAUAUUUGUCUUAAGUCUAUGAUAUAAACUUGAACUUAGUUACUUAGUUGGAUUCAAAGUUAUUAGAAUUCAAGUAGUUUAGAAUAUUGGUAGUUGAUAAUUGGAGGGUUAGUAAGAAUUUCAAAGAUUUGUAGGAAUUUUUCAAUCAAAUUGAGAUAUACAUUUAUAAACAAGUAGUUGAAGUAAAUUCCAAUCUAUAUAAAAAAAUCAAAUCAAAUCAAAUCAAAUUAAUAAUACAAGUAGAUUAUCUUAGUGUAAAGAAUUUAAUAUACAAUUAGAAAAAAAAACAAUCUAACAAUUGAAUAAUUUAUUUGUGUUUUCUCUCAAUCUAUAUAUAUGAUUUUUUUUAAUAUUUUUGAGCUUUUUUUUAAUUAAGAGAUUCAAAGAUAUGUAAUAUUUAAAAUAAAAUCAAUAAUUAAUUAAAAAAUACACAUGGAUUUUCAAUUAUUGAUGGAUUUAUUUUAAAUUGAUUAAGAUUUUUUUAGAAUAUGGUUAGGAUUUGGUUAAGAUUUGAUUAUGAUUGUUUAUAAUUUCUUUAAGAUUUGAUUUAUUUUUAUUGUAAUCUUUUUAGAAUAUGGUUUAGAUUAGUUAGAAUUAUUUUUGGAUUUGGUGAAAAUUUAUUAGAAUUUAAUUAAGAUUUAUUUAGUAUUUUAUCAGGAUUUAAUAGAUUUAAUUUUAGAUUUAAUAAGUAUUAUUUAAUAUUAUUUAAUAUUUUCUUAGGAAUUUUUUAGAGCUUGAUUAUUAUUUAAUAAAAUAUAUCUAGAAUUUUUCUUGAAUUCAUAGAGUAUUUUGAGGGUAUCUUAAGGCUUAUUUAAGACCUUAUUUGAGUUGUUUAUGAUUAUAUAGGUUGUAAUUAAAAAUCGGUAGAUUUAAAAACUAAUUGAAAUAAAUAUUUCAACAAGAUCAAGAUUUCUAAGUUGGUUGUUUUUAAACAUCUUAAGCAUAUCUUUUUUAUUAUUUUUUUAUCUUUCCAUUAAAUGAAUUUUGUUACUAAAAAAGUGACAAUAGAGAUAUUAGAUAGAAAUUUGUAUAAGAUGAUGUGUUUUUCAUUUGUAAACUUUUGCUCUCAAUAAAAUUUGAUUGUUUUCAUUAAAUACAAACUGUCCAAAAGAUACAACGUGUUGGGUGCAAUUUGAUACUAUGAUUAGUUGAAUUCUAAAAAAUUAUUAUUAUUUGGUGAAACACAUCAAAGAGAAGUUUUAGAUAUAUACUACUUUGGCACUUUGGAAGAUAUUGACGGUAUUUAUUGCUUUAUUAUUCAACAUCUAUAAUGUAACAGUUUCUAUUUUUUAAUCCAAAGACAUGGUAUUAUCACAAUAGAGCUCAAAAAGCAAUAAUUUGACUACUAAUCUCUCUAGCAUUGGCAUUAUUGAUCAUGCACCAAUAAAGCCAUACAAAUAUUCAUACAAAUAUUUAGACUCAUCUAAAUAUAUCAAAGAAGAGGUAUUGUAGUAGAGCAUGGUUAAAAUAAUUAUACUAUUGACACAUGGAGAUAUGUAAUUGGGAUUAUUUUUAGAAAGUUUUUAGAAGUUUUUAGAAUUGGAUUUAAGUUAGUGGUCUAUAUAGGAUCCACCAUGGAACAUCCUAAAAGAACUAAGGGCGAUUAUUUAGGUGGAUCCCACUUCUAGAAUCUUUUAGAAGAGUAGUUAUCUUUGUGGAAUCUACCAUCAAGGUAAUUCUAAAAAGUUUUAAGAUGGUUUAAUAAAGUAUAAAUAGGAUUGAUUGAGGUCAUUUGGAACAUUUAGUUAGGUAUGGUUUUGGUCCCUUUUUCUCAAUAAAGUUUGAUUUGUAUUUUUUUAUAUAUUUUGUUCUAUUCUAUUUUCUUUUGCUUUGUUUCAUCUUUUAUGUUUUAUUUUGUUUAAUUCUGUUUAGUUUUGUUCUAGUUUGUUUUUUCCUAUUUAGUAAUGGGAUCUAUGCUACUAUAGAUUGGAAGGGUUUUAAAUCUUUAAGAGAAUUCAAUUCUAUUUUAGAUGCUAUAGAUGAAGUGAAAAUCAAUCAUUGAACAUAUCCAUAAUCAAGACUUAUAAGCUUGUGUUUUUUUUGUUUUUUUGUUAAAGUCAAGUCUUGAUUAGUAUGUGAUACUACUCAAUAUUUCUUGAAUUAUAAAUUACUUAAUCAUUUAAAUAUCUUAAAUUUGUAUUAAGUAUAAUAACAAAAAAUAGAUUGUUAUAAACUAAGCUUUACACAUAAUGCCUAAACAACUUAUAACAAUCUAAAUUAUAAUAUUCAUUAAUUAAAUUCUUAAUCUCUAUUAUUUCUACUUUACAUGCUUCUUAUUAUUGAAAAUCUUUAAACAAGUAGAAUACAAUUAUAAAGCAUUAUUACAUGCCUACAAUAAUGAAUUCAUAAAAAAAUAUAUAUUAUAAAUGGUCAUGAUUGUAUGACCAUGUUCAAUCAUGCAUUGUUAUGGACAUACACAUGUAAACCAAUAUGAUUAGAUAAAAGUAGAUAAAAGUAGAUUAAUUCCAUAAUAUCUUCUAUAGAAGCUUUUUAGAAGCUUUGUAGAUACUGCUUUGACUUUAUAGGUGUCUAUAAUUGACUUUUUAAGUUAAAAACGUGGUCAACAAGUUGGUCAUAUGCCACACAUGUUGGUAGCUUGAAGAAUAAGCUAAUUAUGUGGCCUACACAUAGAAAACUUGUCUUGUAAGGUAAAGCAUGUGUUUUACAAAGUCAACAUAUAUUAGAGGUUCUAUAGAACAUCACCACAUAGUUCUUAGUUAGAUAGUAUAUAUAGAGGCAAGAGUGAAGUCGUCUUCACUUUUGUCAACUCAUUUUUUGCUUCAAGUCUAGAUUUAAGAAUCUCUAGUUUCCUUGUCUUUUGGCAAUAGCUAUUCCAAUUUCUUUUUAAUAUGUAUACUACUUUAUUGUUAUUUUGUCACUUUUCUUUUGACAUAGAUUUCUCAAGUUUAUGCAUCUUCUUCUAAUUCAUGUCCUUGACAUGCAUAGAAUUAUUGCAAAGGUUAUUUCCUUCAAUUUUAUUGGUUCUCAAGUACUUUGCUAUUUGCCUUUAUCAACACUAUAUUAGUGGAAUUAUAUUUUAUUAUUUAAAAUUUUAAAAAAAAAUAAAACAAAACAAAAAAACAAAAAAAAAAACAAAAAACAAAAAAAACAAAAAACUCAAAUUACUAAUCCUUCAAAAAUCUAUUUCUUGAAGAAAUCUUCUAAAAAAAGAAACAUGCUCAUGAAGCUUCAAUUUGAUAUUUGCUACUAGUAUAAGAAGUUGGCGUACCACAAUGAAUUUAAGUAUAGUAAUUGUGACAUAUCUUAUUUUUUUCAAACUUUUUUUAAUGUCUUAUAUCAUGAAAUAUUCAUAAUCUAUAACUUGAAAUAAUUGAUCUUCAACUUAGUUAUUAUCUUUACUUUCUAAAAUUAAUAUUUAAUUCUUAUGACAUUAUUAAAGAAUUAAUGUCUAAUUUGAUGAGUUAUAAAAUUUAAAUUCAUAAUUUUACAAAGAUAACAUAAUUUAUAGUUUAUCUAGUAAUUGUAUUCAAUAAUAUAAUAAAUGAUUACAUGUAACUAAAUUUCAAGGAGAUAUAAUUACUAGAAUCAAAAUCUUGAGGAAAAUAAAUCUAGAUCAAAGUGUGUUUGUUAAAGCCAAGAACUGAAAGAAAAUAUGGAAUUAAAAGAGAUUUGUAUCAACAAGAGAUGACAAAAAUAGAAAUAAAAAAAAUAUGUAUCUUUAAGAAAAAACUAAAAUGACUAUUACCAAAGACUAGAAAUCCAAAAACUUUUGAAACUAGACUAGAAGCAAGAAAGGAGUUGACAAGAGUAAGAAAGGCCUCAUUCUUGCCUCUACAUACACUACCUAAGUUAGAGCUACAUAAUGAUAUAUUUGCAAUGGAUAGCAUUAAGAUAGCAAAAAUCUACACAAAUAUAGAGUUUAUUAUUUUUCUUAGGAGCAACAAUAAUUAGAGAAAGCCAAAUGAUUUGGUUGAAUAAUUCAAUGAAUUUGUGUGAGACUUGGAAAUUGAUUUAAAUAGUCUAAAAUUGAGCUUUAAUCUCCAAAUUGAGUAUGUAUAGAGUAGUUUCUUUGAUUUGAUUCCAUUCAAUAAUAUAGAGGUUAGAAAGUUCUAACACCAAGCAAUAUUACUUAUAAGGACUAGCUUAGUCAUUAGUCCUAUUUUCUACUAGUAGAAUUCAUAUUUUUUUAUUUUUGAUUUUACUGUGGUUUCCAAAAAUAUUUAAUUGGCCUAGUAAAUUUAUAUGGCCUUCAAAUCCUUCUCCAAUUCUUCAUAAUGGCUCCCAAGGUGAUAAAACUUAUUUGUACUAAAAUCUUAAAAAUUAUUCUAAAAAUUCCUAAAAAAAAUCUAGAGAAAUUUUAAAUAAAUUCUUCAAAUUAUUAAAAUAAUUCUAAAAUUCUAUAAUCAAUUUAAGACUAGAUUUUUUUUAACUAAGUAGCUUUCUAUAGUAAUAAAAUAAAUUUAAAUCAACUAUAAAUUAUAUUUCUAAUAUAAAUAAUAAAAAAGAUAUGAGGUUCUUUCUCAUGCUUCUUUUAACUACUAAUUAAUAAUUACAAUUUUUUUAAAAUUAGUAUAUGAAGAUAGAAGGCUUAUGUAGAUAUUUGUCUCAAUAAUUAAAUAAUAAUUCUUAAUAAUAAACUUAAUAAGAUUCUAUCCUAUUAAUAUUUUCUCUAGUAAGACUCUUGUACCCAAUUAACACUUCUAAAUUCUAAUAAAUACUCAAGUAAUCAAAAAGAUUCUCUAAUUCUAAUAUUUUGUAAUUAAAUAACUUAAAACUAUAUUUUUAACAGUUCUACCAAUCAAGAUCUAUUGAUAGGACUUACAUAGCUAUUUUAAUUUUAAAACUAUAUUAUUUUUGAGUAAAUUUAUAGAUGUCUUCAAAAGAGCCGCAAGACCAUAAAAAUUUCUCCUAUGAGUAUUUAAUAUUUAGAAAGUUAGUAUAAAAGUGCCCUACAACUUGGAUAUUUGACCUAAAAGUCAUACAAUCUUUAGAAAUUUUCUAAAUUGCCUACUUAUUAGCUAGUAUCUAUGAAGGAAAAAUUGAAGCUAUCUUCACUCUUCCCUACACCUUUUUACAAUUUAAUCUUUGUUCAAGAUUCUCUUGAUUCUUUGCACUUGAUAAUUUUUAUUCUAGUAACUUUCUAUAUUUUAAAUAUAUAUCUUCUUUGUAUUUUUAUUUAUUUUUAAUUCUUUUUAGUUUUGCACAAGUAUAGUGUCUUUUGAUAAGUCUUUCUAAAUCCAUGUCUUCAAUUAACAUUGAAGUAGAAUUUACAAGAAUACUUCUAUUACUACUCCAAUUUUUUAAAAAGAGUCAAAAUUUCUUUAAUCAAUUUACUUCUAUUAAUUUUUUUUGUAGUUCUUUUUAAUGGCUUUCAAAGACAAUUGAAAAUAUUACAUUUUAAAAUUUUAUGUUAAUUCACUAACUAAUCAUCAUUAACUUUUCAAAUUUUUGUUAAAUUUAGAGUUUAAUAAUUAGUGUAAAAUUAAGCAUUCUCCACUAACUAUAUAUAUAUAUAUAUAUAUAUAUAUAUAUAUAUCAAUAAAUCAAUUAAUAUAUAUAUUUUUUAAAAAAUGGUCUAUUCUUCUUAGAUUUAUUUCCUCUUCUUUUUAAUACACAAUAAUAGAUUGCACCAUGUAACAUCAUGUCUCUUUAACUUACUUUAGAAUACUAAAUGACAUUUGUAUUAAACUAUUUUUUUGUAUUCAAAGUUUUUGAAUGCCAAAUAUAUUGAAAUGUGUUUUAAUUUUUAUUGUAGAAAUACUUCUGAAAUAUUUUUACAUAUUUUACAAUAUAUGUAUGAACAAGCCCUUCUAAUAUAGGACAAUUUAGUUAAGUAUAGGACAUUAUCCUUAACUAAGCAAAAUAAAAUUGUCCUGUACCAAGAGUAUAUUUUCAAACUUACAACAGUUAGGAAACAGCAUUUCAUAGUUAUUGAACUUUAAAUGCAUGGUUGUCCCUCCUAUGUACCUCUAUAAUGAAGACUCUUCCAGUCAUGUCUAUUUGUGUCACAUAUUACACUUUAUAUAAGACAAAGAGGACAAAAAACUUAACACCUUACAAAAGUCUUUCACUUGGUGAAGAAGAACUCUAUUAGAAUCCUUAGUUUUUGGAGAUAACAUAAAGUGAAAAGACACUAUAAAGUAGAAAAAAUAUUUUAUUACAAAUAUGGGACUUGAUUCUAAUUAGAAAGUCAUUUGUUUUAUUUUCAUUCAUUUUUAAGUGAAUCCUUCAUACAUAAGUUUUUUCGAACAUAAAAUAUUUAAAAAAACCAGUUUCGAAUCAAACUUGGGGCAGAUUUUCAAGGAUACUAUUUAUCAUAAUUUAAGCAAUUGUAUUCAAUCAUUUUCCUCCUUUGCCAUCUACAAUCUCCGUUCCAGGUAUGACAUGGACAAAGCUGAAACUUCUCCAGUUUCUUCGCAUCGACCAAGUCGUUGAUUAAAAAGUCAUUGCUUUUUACUUUAAUCACUGUACACAAACUGUUCAUAGUGGCUUGGGCAAUACUAGAGGAUACUAGAGACCGAGGCAAACGAAUUGUGAGGGAGAGUGACACUAUUCGAUUGUAAGGUAGUGCUGACGAACAACGGCAGCCUGAUCUCAUUUCCAUCUUGAGAUUUAUCGGCAUGUAAUAUAUAAGUUUCUGGGUGGUGCAUAAAUAAUUUUUCAAAAUGAUAAAACUUAAAUAACCGGGAACUGCACCAUAGAUAAAGAACACGAUCACCAAUUCCAUUGCAAUCACCACUCUCAUUUCCCAACAGCAUACCACAUCCACGCCGAUAUUUAGCUCAUGCGCAAUUCAAUUACGUAUCAAUAUGACAUUCAAUGUUCCGGACUCCAAGAGCCCUGCCAUCUUCGGUCCAGUACCCAAGUCUGCCUUUGCCUCUCACUCGCCUGCAGCAAGUAUAUCGAACAAGCACACAAGCAACUCAACAAGUGCACGCUCCAACAUAAGAUACCUACCCCAAUAUCAACCCCGCUCUGGACACCCGGUGACUGCUCCGCCAAAACCAAAUCCCGCACUAUUCACUUCUUCUUGGCAGCGGCCUUAGUAACCUUCGCACCAGUUGGUUCCUUCUUCUCCACGGCCUUGAUAACACCUACGGCCACCGUCUGUCUCAUGUCACGCACGGCGAAACGUCCCAAUGGCGGGUAUUCCGCGAAAGUCUCCACAGUCAUGGGCUUGGUCGGAAUCAUCUUCACGAACCCUGCGUCUCCGUUCUUCAAAAACUUGGGCUCCUUCUCCAGCUCCUUACCCGAUCGCCUGUCCACCUUCGUCAAGAUCUCGGCAAACUUCACGGCAAUGUGAGAGGUGUGACAGUCCAGCACCGGCGCGUAACCGUUUCCGAUCUGUCCCGGGUGGUUCAUGAUGAUAACCUGGGCAGUGAAGUUGGCUGCUUCCUUCGCAGGGUCGUUCUUCGAGUCCGAAGCCACGUAUCCUCUCUUCAGGUCCUUCACCGCCACGUUCUUCACAUUGAACCCGACGUUGUCUCCGGGGUGAGCCUCAGGCAUCGACUCGUGGUGCAUCUCCACCGACUUCACCUCAGUCGUCAGUCCAGUGGGUGCAAAGCACACCAACAUACCCGGCCUGAUGAUUCCAGUCUCCACACGUCCCACUGGCACAGUUCCAAUACCUCCAAUCUUGUAGACAUCCUGAAGGGGCAACCGCAGGGGUUUGUCGGAUGGCCUCUUGGGCUCUGACACGUUGUCCAGGGCCUCGAGAAGGGUUGGGCCCUUGUACCAGUCCAAGUUCGUCGAUCGCUCGAUCAUGUUAUCACCCUCAAACCCUGAAAUGGGCACGAACGGAAUCUUGUCCGGGUUGUAACCGACCUUCUUGAGGUACGUCGACACCUCCUUGCUGAUCUCAUCGAAUCGAGCCUUGCUGUACUUCGGCGUGGUAGCGUCCAUCUGCCACACAUGGCAUACACAUCGUCAAUAAAAGGACAUCCUCAACCCAUGCGUGCCCUAUUCUCACUCCAAAACGGUUCUAGCUUUUCUAAGUUGGUGGUUAUAUACAAUGACAUAAGACAGUACAUAUGUCAGGCGGUCUAAUUCAUUGGUCCAAGUAACCAAAGUAGACCUUGUUCAUACAUCGGCGGUCGCAGUAUGAUUCAAAAUGCGGUACCGAGACGAACUCAAUGAAUGUACAUUUGAUAUGACUUACCUUGUUGCAGCAGCAGAUCAUCUGCUUCACUCCCAAGGUGAAAGCCAACAGUGCAUGCUCACGGGUCUGCCCAUCCUUGGAGAUACCAGCCUCGAAUCCUCCGGUGGUGGAGUCAAUGAUCAGCACUGCGCAGUCCGCCUGCGACGUUCCCGUAAUCAUGUUCUUGAUGAAAUCGCGAUGUCCGGGAGCGUCGAUCACAGUGCAGUAGUACUUCACGGUCUCGAACUUCCACAGCGCAAUAUCGAUCGUGAUACCACGCUCGCGCUCAGCCUUCAGCUUGUCCAGCACCCACGCGUACUUGAACGAACGCUUGUUCAUCUCAGCCGCUUCCUUCUCAAAGCGCUCGAUCACACGCUUGUCGAUCCCUCCUAGCUUGUAGAUCAGGUGGCCUGUGGUCGUAGACUUGCCGGAGUCGACAUGGCCGAUGACCACAAUGUUGAUGUGAACUUUCUCCUUACCCAUCUUCGAUUAUCUGCACAACCUUUCAAACUUGUGUAAGAUAUCCAGGCAGCACAGAAUCUCGGAAAUACGAAGUUCGAAGUACACAGCAAAGAAAAAUUGUAUCCAGAAAAUAGCUACCUUUCAGUCUCUCUGAUAAAGAUUAGGACGUGAAGACUACCUACUAACAGGGAAGGAAACGACAGCAGGUAUCAACCAUGAGAAACUCCAAGAACCCCAUCUCGCAUUGGGCAGCCGCGCCGGCUGACUGAAUGACAAAGAAGGUGAUCCACAAAAACCCUAAUAAAAGUGCACAAACAUGUUACUUCACACCGAAAGAGGCUCUCAAACAACCAGAUUUUUCAGCAGAAAAGAACCGCAUUGUUAUUGCAUACCUGGAAAACGAGGCAGAGGUUCCGAGCAGCGUAGGAAAAAACGACAGUGGCGACUAAUCUCGCAGGAGAGCUCUGGAGAGUAUGUCACGGGACGACAGAUUAGCGUGCGGCGCUCCCUCUUCAAGGGCUUACGCUGGUGGCUCCGCCCUCGAAUCGUCCAUCGAACGGCCCUGCUUGACAGUCCGCAUGGUUCACGGCGCGGUUAGACGCGCCGUUUGGGAGGCGUGCCUGGAGGCGGGGGCGAGGAAGCAACCCCCUGCCCUAAUGAGGACUCCCAUGCACAAGGGUGGCGGCUUCGUGAGCCCACGUUAUCAUGUUCUAAUUUCGAGGCCCAAACCGGAUUAAAUCUCUGUGGGUAUCUCCGACCAAAAGAAUUUGAUCCUCACUGUAGCUCCUCAGCGGUUCGUAUGCAUGAGUGUCAUGAACCCAAGAAUUUCUCACAAACUUUGCCUUGAGUGUGAUGCUCUUGUUGCCGUCUCGGAGUUAAUCAAGAGCGCAAGCUGUGACCUAGCUUACGUAGACUGCUAUUCAAUUGUGUACAUGCUGCUGAAAAACAAUCAUGUUCUUAAUUUUUAUAGAAAUGAAUAAUUUGCCAAAUUUUUCUGCGGCUACAGAAUUGGUGGUCACGGAACAAGCAGCGUCCAUGCUGAGCAAUGUAUUCAUCUGUGAUUUUUGACUGUGUUAUAUGACGUCCGCAUUCUGAAGCUACAAGCAGGAGUGAGUGUUGGAAUUGGGUAUUCAUGCGCAAAUGGGAAUUGGAUAGUAAGCACGUCUGGAAGCCAAGGGUUUAUCAUGACAGAAGUCUUUGCCGUCCACUGAACUAGUCUCAUGCCAUGUUCGUGAUGCCGGCACCAUAUUAUGGUGCAUGUUUUAUGUUGGUGAGUUUAUGUCACACAUUUUCAUGUAUCUCUAGGGAUGGAGGGAGAGUUGUGAUCGUGCGGUGAGAUAAUGGUGAUGAGCUUUCAGAGGCCGGAUAAUACAAGAGAAAUUGGGCACAGUUGCUCGUUGAGAACGACCUCCGCGAGGGUUUUAUUGAGGUAUCUGUUUUCCCAACCUCUACGUCCGUUUAUGAAAUUGGGCAUGAGUGAAGAUUAGUGGUGCGAGGGACUUCUGUGCUGCAUUUAGAAUUACAUCACGUACCAAAUAUUGUUCAAGUCAUUGUGCGAGACAUUCUUCACGAGUACAGUAAGUCCGUUGGAGACUCCGAGUUUCUUCCCAUCACUUUAGAAGUUCGUUAUGUUUCUUACCUUCAUGGGGCGGCGGAAGCUCCAUGGUCUAUGUGUUUUUUGGAAGUAUCAUGUGCGAUUCUCUGGGAACGCGCGCUACAAUUGAAACGCACACUAUUUUUGGUUGUUUGUUUGUUUGUUUUUCUCUUGCUUUAGAUUCACUUAGAAAUUGCCAAUAACCGAAUUCGCGAAUGCGCCAACUGAGUUAAAGUUCCCCCAGUAGAGGAUCCUGGAGCCUAGCAUCCCAAAUAUAUUUCCCUGUUCUCAGUCCUGAACCAUACCAACUCCAUUGUUAUCGCUACUCUUGUUUUAGCAGCAGGAAGUGGGAAUCGCUUGCUUUGGAGUGCGUAUAAUAAUACAGCAUUGCGGUGGUCAAAAAAUAAAGUACUCUUCUGCACCCUGUCAUUACUAUCUCUACGUAUUCGAUCAAGCUGUUCACGAGCUCGUCGACUAGAUUUGAAGAGUUUAUUGUUCUGGUGCGAGCCACGGUACGAAAUUAUCGCAUUACAAUUACUAAGUGACGGCUUCUACACAACGUAAUUCGGAGGCGGUUUGCAUUGGCACCCUGAAUCAUACUGUGGUGCUAUUAUCCUCAAUUUGCAUCUGAGUGCUGUGUCUGUGCACCAGGGCACGAAACGGUACUUGAGGAGACUUCGUCCAGUGUGUGCUCGGAAUGGCGCCAGAGUUGAGGUUGAGGAGCUUGGAGUGGUUCGCCUUAAGAAAAGAGAAGGGAGAGACAAUGGAGAGAAAUUGCCAGAAGAUCUCGGGCUGAGGUUGGAGAUCAAGGCGAAGGCUGCUGCUUUUAUUAGCAAUGCGCAAUCGGCGAAAGGAGGUGAAGGGCUGCUUGGACAAAUACUCGGUGUGGAUCUCGGGUUGUGAAGACUGGGUUGUCAGUUAGUGUGGGUGGUUAUGAGCCUCGGUCUUCGACUGUAAAAUUUUUUAUACUAUAACAAUUUCGUUUUGCACGAAAUGGCUGUGGUAAUGUCACAGUGCAUCGUUUUCUCCAUGCAUCAAGUCUUUUUUAAUCACCUACUGUCUGCCAACUCAAGCACUACAUUCUGAUACGAGUGUGUGAGUACGGGACCACUUUUUACACUGUGUACUUUGUCGCUGAGCAAGAUUUGUCUCAUAACUAGAAAAGCAGCGGACCUGUUUGAUGCACCUCAUCUCUUAAGCCGGUCGUUUUAUAAUUUUUCUGUGAAUGUAUGGAGAGCCUCCUCUUUUGCAGGCUGUCAUGUGGAAGACGGUUUGUGCAAUUUCAAUCGAGUAAAUUGAAAAUAACGUAGCAGCAGAUUUGAUGUUUGAGAACAAAACCACAAAUCUGUCAUCUCUGCUAACAUCAGCCUUGUAAAUGAAGAAAUGUUGAAGGAACGGGUCGGUUACAAAGGAGUUCGAAAUUCUGCUCAUGUUUUCGACAGUAAUGUUAGGUUGUGCCCCAUAACGGUACUCAUACAUUUGACGUGUUUCUCAUGUACUCGGCAAGUUAAAACUGCGAUGGCAUCUGAUAGUUUGGUGUAGAUCUAAACCAUGACAACAGAGCAUGAGGGAUCAGAUAUACGUUUCAUCUCUAUUUGAUUCGGUUCCUAGUGAUGCACGAUGUCUGCUUCGAGAACGAGGAUUGUGUUCUUGUUUGGCUAAGCUGCGUCACUGCAGAAAGCAGGCGAGUUUGUAUUUAGCAAGAUUUGUGAACAAGGAUAUGUGGAUAAUCUCAAUUCUCUAUACUACCGCAGAAAACUGCAAAUAGGAAAGAAAAGCGGUCAACCUCGAACAUGUCGGAACAUGCGGAACUGUGCAGUACUCAUGGUAAUUGGUUGGAUAUGAUGCAGAGGCAAUAACAGACGGGAACAGAUUGUCUCGCAAGCGACAUGACGCUUAUGCUGCCUUGGUCAAGAUCAUACAUUCUUUUUCACUGCUGGCCUGAUGUUGAGAGAUCCUACUUGAUACUGACAGAACCACGUGACAUAGGAACAUAGCGUCUUUGUUUGCGAGGUUUCAUUUUAAGAUGGUCCAAAGCUCCUGCUGGUUGGUACUAAGGUCUCCUAUGGAUGGGGCAAUGAUGGUUCUGGAUGUGCGUCAUGUGAAGUUUACAGUUGCGUGAUCUUCAAUCAUCGAUGCAUAGACUGUGUUUGACUACCCAAUCAUUCGAAAGUCUGUCCUUUCGAGGCUGUUGAGCACAAACAGAAAUCUUCGGACGAAAGUUUCUGCGCAUCCAAAUAUCGCUUGCUUCUACAUGUGACAAAUUAGAACCUUUGUAUGGAUGGGUUGAGUCAAGCUUUCAAAUGGAGCAGGGUUAAGAAAGUGCUGGUUUUGUAAUUAGUAGGCAGGACUCAGGUGUAAGUCAAGUAUUUGUGUCUUUCUAAUCCUUCAACAACCUCUUGGCGAUAUGACACAAAUGGUGUCUUGUUAAGUAGACUGAAGUACGGAUUAAGUUAUGUUAACGAUGUUGCUGUCAUCCACAGGCGCUGCUGCUGCGGGGCUACUUGUAAUCCACUGGUUCUCGUGCUCGAUUACUCCUCCCCAAACCUCUCGACCUUCAGCGGCUCCCCUGUCAAUGGCCUUCAAUGCCUGUGCUUCCCACCCUCGAAGAUUAUAACGACGAUUGAAUGAUGAUUUUAACAAACCUCAAAGUUGACGACAGCUCAGCGCCUGUUUCGUUUUUUUCUCUCUCUCUUUCUUUCUUUCUUUCUUUCUUUCUUUCUUAUCCUUUUUUUUUUUUUUUUUUUUUUUUUUUUUAAAUGGUGGCUCACUGGGUGUAUAUUGUGAUCAGGAUGCUUAAUCGAUUCUUACAAAUGAUUCACCCGCGAUCUAGUGGGCGUUUCCAUGACUAAGUUGCAAAGCACUCACAAGCCACAUAUCUGCUGAUGGUCGGUGAAGUCAUGGGAAGUUGAAGAUGCAUUCAGUUCUUCCAUCUAUGCGCUUCCAUGAACUUACUCACACCUAUUACAUGACUCUUUACAUAAAAAUACUAUUGAGUACUUCCGGUGUGCUCCGCAUUCUCAUAGUAAGUAUGAAAUGAAGAAACAAUCCGAUUUGCCAAGCGCCCUUCUGCUGUUCGGUGUGGACAGCGAAUUGGUGAUGACUUUGUACAACUCAAAUUGGAAAGAAGGUAAUAUCCGUUCCAAGACUUCGGUUUUAUCCGAACAUGAUUCCAAGCAUUACUCCUUGUGAUGGAAUGCCUCUCACUGUAACAAGAAGCAGCAACAGAAACGCUCCACCUUGAACAUGUCCGAAAAGCCCACGCCAUCAAAACCUAAUUUGGAGCCUCAAGCCCUACUUGUCCUUGCUCAAUGGUGGGUCCUUUCCUUUCGUCAGUUGUUGAUUUGUCUUUUUCUUCUUCUUUUCAAAGUGGUACUGAAGUGACGUGGUCGUUUGGUUUAUUCUUUACUUUUAAGUUAGCUGAUGACGCAGAACAAUACUUUGCUUUCCUCUUUCACCUCCUUUCCUGGUUGGGGCAUCCGUGGAAAAAAUAGUUUGUUAAGAAGCAUGUCCACCGCGUCCUCAGAGCUGUCCAAUCAACGGGUGUGACACAAAUCCGCCAACCUCACACCCAUGUGUGGGAGUUGAACUUGUCAUCCCCAUCCAGGCGAGGACUAUCAUGUCCAGUGGUUUUUUCCCCCACUGCACACCUAAAAUACCAUACAUCACACAUGCUUCGUAAUUUCCUGCCGACCAUUUCCUCACCAGUGUCUGCUUGUCACUGUUGCAUAAACGUGCCGCCCGAUUCCAACCAUCACACACGCACACAUACUCACAUGUAGGGGGAGAGAAAAACUUGUUCAGUACCCAACAACGGGUCAUCCUGACCUCCCAAGCGCCAGCGACCUCACAAUCGUCCAGCUGGUCCCAGACUUGGCCACCAAGCAAGCUCAGCGUUCGGCAUUGACAAGGUCUCAGUUUGUGCCACUGUAGAACCCGUCGCAUGCGUCCCUGCAGCCCAGGUCAGGGUCGUUAGAAAGCAAGUGCUGGGGGCGUCGGAGCGGCGGAGAAUAGUUCUCCUGGGCAUGCAAAUGAGGCAAGCAAUCAAGCUGAAUGUCCACCCAGAUUCCAGCCCAUACCUCCGCCAUCGCCAUCCUGCCACACAGAGAGGGCCACAGAGCUAGAAGCCAGAAACCAGGAGGGGGGAGGGAGGGGAACCUUAUCUCGAUCAUUUAUUUGUAAUGUAUGUAUGUAUGUAUGUUUCUAACUUUAGUUUACUGGAGUUUGGAAACUAGGGCUUGUUAUGUUAUUCUGCUUGAUUUUUAUGUACAGUUAUUUUUCUCUGAAAUCCUAUACCCAGGUACUCAACUUACAACGUGUUGAUUUUUUCCUCUCUAUGUGUAUAUGUAUGUGUUCGUGUAUUUUUUGGAAUACAUAUUCAACCUUAUUAUUGUUUAAAAAGUCUAGUGCAUAGAUUUUGAACUUCGUACUGUUGAUUUGUUUUGUUUUGUUUUUGUUUUUUCUUGGAAGUUGAUAACAGUUCAUGUGUUUUGCCCUUGUAUUGAUAUUUAAGUGGUGAUGGAAAGAGAUAGAGACAUAGAAUAACUAUUUUGAUAAAUUUAACGAAAAAAUAUUGGUUGGGACAAGUGGAGUAGGUGCCACGUUUCAAUGUACUGGAAGAGUUGGAAUUGAAUUGUUGUGCUCUGAUGGACUUGAACACAAUUCACCUCUCCUUGGAAUACAUAUAAUGUUUUUAAAAACAUGAGCAUCAUUUUUUAAGUAUUUUGUCCACAGUUCAAUGUUUUUAUUCCUUAAUUUAUUCUAUUUAGGAAAAAAAAUUGAAUUUUGUUUGAAAGUCCAAACAUGUUUUAUCAUAACGCAUUCAAUAAUACCAAUGACUUUGGCUUUUUUUAAUAUAAUUUUCUUUUCUUUUCUUAUUUUUAAAUUUAGAUUUAACUUGUAGAUGCAUUUGACUUGUGAGAAAUUAUAUAUAUAUAUAUAUAUAUAUAUAUAAUAAAUCCUAUGAUAUGAUCCCUCUUUAGAAUGCAAAAGAUCUUUUGAAGAAAAAGACUAGUAACUUAUUUUUGCUUUAAAAAAGAAAAAUGUAAUCAUGAAGAAUUUAUAUUAACUCCAAAUUGUGCAAUUCAUGUACACAAAACUAAUUGAUUGUGUAUACAACUAAUCAAUUUCAAACAAAAAAGAUAUCACAUCUCAUUAAUAAUGUUGGUUUUUAUUAUAUUCCAUGUAAGUUGUUUAAUUAUAUAUCCCCUAAAUACCUAGUCAUUAGAUGUGUAUUAUUUGAAAUGUAUUAUUUUAGUUUUUCCAAUGUUGUUAAUGUUUUACAUGGCAAGUAUGAGAAUUGGUAUGUGACACAUUCAAGAUUAGGGUGUAAUCCCAUUAUGGACUUAGGUUUGUGUUACGAGAGGGUUUAGGAUCUCACAAUGAUUUUGUGAAAGUAUAUGGUUUGUGGCAUAUGCAAAUGGGAGUUGUGGGUGUGUGGAUUAGUGGCGGCAGAGAUGGUGCAACGUGUUUGGAUAGAUGUUGUGGUGGAUUGUUUGCAUGGAUCUUAUGAAGAUAGUUUGUGGCAAUUGAUGAGCAAUGUAUGAAAUUAAGAAGCUCCAAUAACAAGAUGUUUUGGAUGGACAAGACAAUGGUGUUCAAGUUGUGUUGAAUAUGAAGUUACUUCGGAAGAAACUUGUGAUACAAUUCAAAAGAUUACAUUACCAUCUAAUUAAAGAGAUAGAGUACAAAGAAAUAAGAAACUAUGAGUAUGACAUAAAAUGUUGUAGCCAGAGACUACAAAAGAUAUCAUGUGCUAGAGAUAGUCAGGAUCAUAUCCAUGUCUAAUUACUUCCACAAAGUUCAAAUCCAUAAGUAGAAAGGAGUACUUCCAACUACCAAAAUGAACCUUCUUUAUUAUUCAUAUCCUCUAACUAAUGCUCAAACUAAAUCAUUCAGCAUAGAGUUCUUAUCAUUUCUUAUAAAGAACUAAAAUUUCUAUUACAAUAGAACUAUAGUGCCUCAUUUGCUACAAAUCAAGUCAAUCUCAUUCACUCAACCAAUUAAACUAGUUCCAUAGUCCAAGAAACAAAGAAAUUGUGACAUGUAAGAACAAAAUCCUAUUAGUAAACUCAUGCCAUGUGCCAAAUGUGUUCAAAAUCAAUUUUGGUUAUAUUAAUGAAGUUCUUUGUAGUAGUGGUUAUAUAUUGAAUUAAUUGGUAUACAAAUAAAAACAUAUUGAGUGAAUAUUAUGAUUUUUUUUGGAAUUAGUGGACAAAUUAAAUUACUUACCGUUAUAAUUAUAAUAAUACUAUUAUUGCUAAAAAUAUUGAGUUGUGAAAUGAUCACAAGUAUUUUAAGAUUGCUUAAUGUUGCAAAAAUCAAGAAAAUUAAUGGUGUUUUUGUAAAUUGUAGAUAUUGCAAAUGUAUCAUAUAUCAUUUAGCAUUAAAAUCUAUAACAAAAGAAAAAAAAUCAUUAAAAAUAAUAAUUAUAUCAAUCCAAUUAUCUAAUUCUUUGCACCCAUUUAUAGCAAGUUGUUAAAUUAUGGUUAGAUAAUGGAUAUCAAAGGAUUAUCAGUUACAAUUGUAUUAAUGAUAAUUUGAAUAAGUAAAGAUAUAAAUCUUUUUAUAUUUACUAGCUAAUAUAUUUAAUAAUAUAAAAUACUGUUUUAUUAUAUUUUAAAUUUAAAAAACUAUUCAGUUGUAUUUGUAUUUUUUGAUGUUAAUAUAUAUAUAUAUAUAUAUAUAUAUAUAUAUAUUUCUAGGGCUGAUACUUUUAUUUUUUAUUAUCUAUUUUAUUAUACAUUAAAAUGAAAAAAUUUAGCUUUUUAAAAAUACUUUGAAUUUCUUUCAAUUUUAAAUGCUUCAAAUUCUACUUGUGACUUGCAUUCAUCAUUUUGAAACAAGUAAUAAUCAGUUCACAAUAAUUAUGUUACUUAAUUUAAUUAUGAUUUAUACAUUGUACUAUAAAAUAGAAAGAAAGAAAAAAAAUCAAAAUUAUUUAAAUGUAAAUUAAUAAUUUUAUAGAAUUUUUUACUAAAAUAAUUUUAAAAUGGCUAAAAUAAAUACUUGGAUAAAUUUAUAAAUUUAAUUCAAUACUUAUUGGGUAAUGAUUUAGUUUUCUUUCAUUUGUUUAGAAUAUAUGAAAAUAUAUUUGCCAAUAAUUCAUCAUGUUUACAUCAAUAAAUCAUAAAUAAUUGAGUAUAUAUAUAUAUAUAUAUAUAUAUAUAUAUAAUUUUAAAAAUUCAAAUAUAAGACCUUUUUAAUUUUGAUAAAUUAAAAAUAAAAUAUAUUAGUAUCUUUGCCAUGAAUUACAAAUGAUUCUAUUGUUAUGUAUAUAUUCUCUUUCUUUUCUUUUCUUUUUAUAGUUUUUAUAGUUUAGUUUAGUUUAGUUUUUUUUUUUUAAUCAACAAUUCUUUAUGAGUGGUCAAAUUUUGAUUUAGCAACUAUAAAUUAUACUUUUACAGCUUUUUUGUAGCCAAGGGCACAGAUUUCCAGUAUAUAUAUAUAUAUAUAUAUAUAAUGAAAAUAUAUGUUUUUAUUAUUACUACUAUUUGACUAGUUGAUACAAGUGGUUAUAUAACCAUUUGAGAAGCUAUUAAUACUUGGCAUAUUUAUUCUUAAUAAUAUCAUAUUAUAUUAUUUAAUAAAAAUAUAAAUAUUAUUUUCUUGAUUUUAUGAAAAAAUAUUUGGUUUUCAAAUGUUCACAUUUUGAUGCACUAUGAGCUAAUAAUUAUAAAGUAAAUAUUCUUAUUUUAUGUAUUGUGCUCAUAAUUUGAUCAAAAAUUUGCAUUCAUUCCUAAUUCUAUUAAAUGAUCAAAUACUUAAUGAAUUACUUGAUACAAAAAUAGUACUAAAUAUCAUGUGAGAAAAAAGAGAUUAUUGUGUGUUUAUCAAUACUUCUACACCAUGCUAAGUAUACAAGUGUUUAUCAAAACACAUGCAAUAUCAAUUAUAAAGAAAGAAAAUAAUACAAAUACACAACUUGGAUUUACAUAUGUGUGUAUGUAUGUGUGUGUAUAUAUAUAUAUAUAUAUAUAUAUAUAUAAUGGAAUGUUAAAUAGACCCAAGUUUUUAUUAAAUCAACCUAUCCAUGAUGAAUGUGGUUGGUUUUUAUUGGUUUUUUUAUCUAGUGGUGAAAUUAAUCUAGAGGUCAUUUGUUUUCAUGAUAGUUAGGACAGAUGGAUCAUUUUGGUAAAAGCGUGGGUCUAUUUAACAUUCUCCUAUAUUUAUGCCUACCCAAUUUAUUCCAUAACAUUUAUGCACAACCUAUUUAAUCCAAUGAUAAGAAAAUUCAGAAUAGAAUCGAGAAAGUAAAAGUGACAAAACAUUAAGCACGUGGUAAGAACUCAAAAAGUAAAAGUGGACCAAAAACAUUAAUCGCAUAUCGAGGGGACAUGACAGCUGACACGUGGCGGUGCGGUUUCGCGGGGUGCCUAACUGGGCAGGUGUCGUCCCGACCGCGCGGUUCGCACCGUUUGGAUCGCCGAUCUUGUGGUAGUUAAGCGCGGUUGGCAAUAAAAGGGAUGCCCGUGUGGAAGGGCCUCUACAAGAGGAGUGUUUGUGCAGCGAAAGGAUCCUCCUCCUCCUUCAGCCUCUCGCAGGUUGGAAUUCAGCUGUCCAGGCCCUCGUCCUUCACUUCUCCUCCUCCGCACCCUCUCGCCACCAUCACCGGGUAUGCAUGCUCUUGUUCUACUACUCUUGGGUCUCUUUUCAUCCUUCUUUCCAACACACCCCAAUUCACAGUGUUCUGUUAUUUUGAUCUAGCACCCGGUCAACCACUGGUAGAAGGCUUUUUGGUGAUUCGUGGUGUGAAGGGGGUGCUUGAUGGCUAAUUUCCGUUUCGGAUCCUUCGUUUAGUUUGCAAGGAUUAGCAUCAGAAAUGUUUUGGUACUGAGUUCUAGGGUUUUGAUCUAAUUGCUUAUUGUGUUUUGACUCGUAGUAAGUGACUUGGUGUUUCGAGCUUUUCCUUAAUUUUAAGAAUCUGUGUUCUAAGAGUGACAACCGCUACGAGAAGCGUGUGAUUUAUACCUUAAACUCGAAGAGUUUUUGCAGGUAAUCGAAGAUGGGUAAGGAGAAGGUUCACAUCAACAUUGUGGUCAUCGGCCAUGUCGACUCCGGCAAGUCUACGACCACAGGCCACCUGAUCUACAAGCUGGGAGGGAUCGACAAGCGUGUGAUCGAGCGCUUUGAGAAGGAGGCGGCUGAGAUGAACAAGCGUUCGUUCAAGUACGCGUGGGUGCUGGACAAGCUGAAGGCUGAGCGCGAGCGUGGUAUCACGAUCGAUAUUGCGCUGUGGAAGUUCGAGACCGUGAAGUACUACUGCACUGUGAUCGACGCUCCCGGACAUCGCGAUUUCAUCAAGAACAUGAUUACGGGAACGUCGCAGGCGGACUGCGCAGUGCUGAUCAUCGACUCCACCACCGGAGGAUUCGAGGCUGGUAUCUCCAAGGAUGGGCAGACCCGUGAGCACGCACUGUUGGCUUUCACCUUGGGAGUGAAGCAGAUGAUCUGCUGCUGUAACAAGGUGGGGGGAGUUUGAGAUUGUGUGGAGGCACGUGAUAUGUUGAUGUUUCUUUUUUAUGCAGCGUAAGGGUGUUAGAAAUCGAUUGAGGGAUUGAACAUGUGUUUGGGUGACGAGCGAUGUGGGGUGGAGUGGUUCGGUGGAAUGACAGCCUUGGUGGUGGCAGAUGGACGCGACGACGCCGAAGUAUAGCAAGGCUCGAUUCGAUGAGAUCAGCAAGGAGGUGUCGACGUACCUCAAGAAGGUGGGGUACAACCCGGACAAGAUUCCGUUCGUGCCCAUUUCAGGGUUCGAGGGUGACAACAUGAUCGAGCGAUCGACGAACUUGGAAUGGUACAAGGGUCCGACGCUUCUGGAGGCCCUGGACAACGUGUCAGAGCCGAAGAGGCCAUCUGACAAGCCCCUGCGGUUGCCCCUCCAGGAUGUCUACAAGAUCGGAGGUAUUGGAACUGUGCCAGUGGGACGUGUGGAGACUGGAAUCAUCAAGCCGGGUAUGUUAGUUACCUUCGCACCCACUGGACUGACGACUGAGGUGAAGUCGGUGGAGAUGCACCACGAGUCGUUGUUGGAGGCGCACCCCGGAGACAACGUCGGGUUCAAUGUGAAGAACGUGGCUGUGAAGGACCUGAAGAGAGGAUACGUGGCUUCGGACUCGAAGAACGAUCCUGCAAAGGAGGCCGCCAACUUCACUGCCCAGGUUAUCAUCAUGAACCACCCGGGACAGAUCGGAAACGGUUACGCGCCGGUGCUGGACUGUCACACUUCUCACAUUGCCGUGAAGUUUGCCGAGAUCUUGACGAAGGUGGACAGGCGAUCGGGUAAGGAGCUGGAGAAGGAGCCCAAGUUUUUGAAGAACGGAGACGCAGGAUUCGUGAAGAUGGUACCGACAAAGGCAAUGACUGUGGAGACUUUUGCACAGUACCCACCAUUGGGACGCUUCGCGGUUAGGGACAUGAGGCAGACGGUGGCUGUGGGUGUUAUCAAGGCGGUAGAGAAGAAAGAACCGUCUGGAGCGAAGGUUACUAAGGCCGCUGCCAAGAAGAAGUGAAUAUUGCUGGAGACGAGCGGGGUGAAGCAGUUAGGGGCUGACCGGGUCAGGGUUGGGUUUGGUGUUGCGGCAUUGUUUUGGAGGGUGCGGUUAUUGUUUUGCCUGUGUGCUUGUUCAAUAUACUUGCUGCAGGCGAGGGAGAAGCAGAGGCAGACUUGGGUACUGGACAGAAGAUGGCAGGGCUCGUCGGAUCCGCGACAGUGAAUGUUAUAUUUAUACGUGAAUAAAGUACUUUAUGUGGCCUCGACAUUGGGGUGGACAUAAAGCUAGUGAUGGUGUCUUUGGAAAGGACGUUGUGCUGGUGGUAUGGUUAGUGUUAUAUGUAUGUGAGGGUGCAACGAAGCCAUUACGUCAAGGAGAAAUUUUGAAUUCUCGUCUGAGCUGUUUAAGUGCACUUCACAUGGAUUUGGGAAGGGCAACAAGUUAUUCGGAUUACAUAAUGUGAACUGGAAUUUCUAGUUUUGCACUUUAUAACAAGUGUUACAAAGCAUGUUGAAUUGAUGUGUAUUAGAAUAUCCAUUCUUUGGAUUAUUUUAUAAUUCUUGCUGCAAUGCCUUAACAAUGUGUCAAUAUAGGUGAUGAGUUGAUACCAUUUGUUACCGGAACGUGGCGUCGCUUUGAACAUUCAGAAGAAUUUUGGUUGCUGGUAAUGUGGCUCAGAACCUGCGAGAUAAUAUUUGGAUUUACUUUCCGGUUGAAUGCGUGCAAACAUGUUGCAUAAGUAAUGUUUGUAGUUAUCAUCUUAUGUACGGACCCAUCGUUUUGUGAUAAGUAGCAUAUUAUAUACAAUCUGUCUUGUCAUUUUAUCUGAAGAUGCAACAAUCCUUGUCAAUCUAAAAGCACUCAGCUUAUAUUAAUAUCAAUUUUCAGUUUACAGACAUUGCAUAGAAUGAAAAUUUCAUUUCAAGAGGAGCUCAAUUUCCUCACAUUCUGUUUACUGUUUGAGAUAUGGAGGAUUCAAUGCAAUGGGAAAAGCCCAGCAAUGCAUUAUUCAUCAAUAGUGGCUUAAUUUGUAAGCAGUCUGCUGACACAGAUAUCAACAGUGGAGAAAUUAGAUGUGAACGCAGCUACGUUUUAUAUUUUUUUGUCUUAUGUACAGAUAAGAAUUGAAUCUGCUACUUCGCCCUCAUGACACAUCAUUGGCAUAAGAGAUGUACUAUCAUUCUAAAACCUUUCUCUAGUUAUUACAUUCCACAUCUGGUUAAAUCCCUGCAACUCCUCACUGACAAUCGUUACCUAGAAUAGAAAGGACACAAUUCUGUUGUGUCUCUAUCAGUCACAGGGAUCAGGGUAGUAAUUAUAGGAGGUUGCGACUGAUCCCUGGCACAUUUUAGUAGCCCAAAAUACUCUUUGGGAGUUUCACUAAAGCUUCAACAUCUGCAGGUUCACCUGAAAACUUCCGAGCAAAUAAAAAGCAGGGUGAACUAGGUCGUCCGUUGUAUAUACACGUUUGCAUGGUGUGAUUUAAGUCGUCAGACGAGUCCAUAUAUUGCCCAUCCCUGUUUUCUGUCCUGUUCUGAAUCUUCCGGAACAGCUCGAGGUUUAUAUGCGAGACAUUGUGCUUCAAAGGGGAGUCCCCGUGUUUGGGAUUGGACCAGUCUGCGUAAGUGACUGACCGAUUGGCGAUUCCCUGCACGCGCUCCAAGUGCACAAAUUAAUCAUGCUCCUCAUCUGCCUUGAUGUUAAAAUUAUGAAUCAAGACAUGUAAAUUCCAAAUUUCUUAUUGAACGAAUUACUACACAUUGGUCUACUCCUAUGAAAUUUUUUGUAGAAAAAAUUGAUUGUACACACUAACCCAGAAAGAUUUGCACCAGCGUAGGUCAAAUUCCUUCUGGUGACUUGAGCCUGAUAUAAACCUCCAGGCCAUGUUGAGUUUGCUAAUUUUGAUUGUUUACACAAUGCACACCCAAUUAUAAAUUGACAGUUAUUCAUGUAGAAAGUGAUCAGAAAGAGCCAAGAGAUAGAUCGAGGGCUCCCCACUAAGACAUUGUGGCAAUCAAGCAGUCGCCUUGAAAGCAAAUUCUAAUUCCACGCGGUAUAACCUUUGCGAAGUACCAAACUCGUCACCACAUGCUUCCCAAAGCAAUGUUGCCGCUACGUACGGUAAAUUCCUUCAGUUUAGCAUACGAAUCUAGCAAUCUCUAAGGCGAAAGAGAUAUCAACUGAAAGCAACGUCAUCGCCGACAUAUAAACCUCAUGACAUUCGCAACUGCUGACUCAUCCAGCACUGAAGUUAUGUGCUGGAUUGUACUUAUGAUAUUUAGGGCUAUAUCUGGAAGUGCAAGCUACUACUAGGACAAUUUUGUCACAUGAAGUUCUGAUGCUCAAGUGCAGAACCAUGUUAGGACGAAUCAUGUAAUUCGAGCACCAUAUCUACAAGAACACACCAUUCUCCUGAAAGUAAUUCCAACGUGAAUGCGGCUUCUAUUUACUACGAUCUGUGGCUAUAUCCAGACUUAACCCAAUCCCCACUUACUACACUCUGACAAAUUCAAGUACUUCUCUCAUCACAUCGCGUGGACUCUGUUCCCCUUCUUAUUGCAGACUCGGACUUUCAUUCAUAUUGAUCCUUUAUCAUUAACUGAAAUGAAUUAGACAUGAAGUGGUUGGAAGCAAUUCAGAGACUGUAAAAAAUACAUCAAAUCACAGCAUGAGGCAUUCAGAUUUGUAAUUCCCUCACCUUGGGAUCCAAGAUAUGGAGCAGAGUCUGUACAUACUCCUCAUCAAGGACGCAGUCGUCACGGCAAUCGGCUUUGAAUUUGCGGUAAAAUGUGACAUCACCGACCACCAUUCCGGCAUGGCGGCGGUGCAUGGACACCCAUAGCUCACCCUUGUGAAGCUGCUCCAAUUUGAACAGGGGCUCCGUGUGCCACCGCUUGAACCUACAACAAUUCAAUCAAGGCAAAAACUCAGUUACGUGGAGAGAUCAGUAAAAUCAAACUCCAAUGCAUUCUAAAUGAGAUUCUUUCAAGCUGAGGCUUAUGGAAUGAUCGGAUCAAAGAGAUCAACCUCUUCAGUGGAGAAUAGGAUUCGACGAAGCUCGUGGUGGAGUUCAUGAAAUAGUCGUAAACGUAAGGAAAGCUCCGAACUGGCAUGCACGCCUCAGAGACUAGCAUGAACCACAUAUUAGCUCUGCCUGUGUCCAACAAGGCAAAUGCCAGCAAUCUGCGGACAACGUCUACAAGAGUAAUAUCGAAGCGCUUUACUUCCUUGGUUGAAAUGGAUCUGUUGUGGAAGACGGACGAGUUCGGAAACUGGUUAACCCACCAGCUCGCGUGAGUAUAUAUAGAGUAGGAAUCAUUAUCCGCUCCCGCAAAGAAUCGCUCCCACAGAGGCUCAAGUGGGAUCUCCUUCCGAAGGAUGAAUAGGAAUGCAAUUUUGGGUUUUCCAUCUGGUAGAGGAUUGGUCGCAGCGUCUUGAGCAGCAUGGAGAAGCUCCGAAUCCUCAACCGAUACUUUGAAAUACUUGUCGACAUCUAAAUCAUGAGUGCUGCUUCCUGGUUUCACGUAAUCUUUGCAGGGGAGGUAAGAAUUGGGAAACGUCGAUUCUGGUAACCUAGAAGUGGGGUCAGUCGACACAACCCUGGGGUGAGUACAAUUUUGACAAUCCGCUGAGGCUUGUGGGGAGAGCCGACCGAUAGUGAAUUCGGCGGGAAUGGGACUCGGCUGCGAGUCGAUCAAGAACUUGAAAAACAUGAAGGAGCCUAGUAUUAGGACCACAAUGCCCCCCCGGGUGAGCCACACAUCUUGCUGGGACUUCAGAAACCCCAGACGGCCGGAGUUUGAUGGACUAAGCACGUUUGUCAUCGUCGACGAAUACACUCCUCGUCUCGGGAGGAUCUGGACGGGCAAAAUUUCUCUAGACACUACGCAUCUUACACUUCAUAUGAAGCUAGAAAAAGUUCCUGCAUCGACAAAAACAUAUAAAGAAGUAGGCAGCCUCACAAUUUAUUCUCCUCCCAGAACGGACUCAACUGAGUGAAAUUCCAUGAAGACUCACGAUACAACCCAUUCAUUGUCCGAGCUUCGAAGAAGUAGAAAGGUCCUGGCCCUCGUUUUUUUACGCAGGCGAAGGGCAAAAUUCAGAGAAAGAUAGGAGGGCAACAAGAAUUAGAGGAACGAAGAGGAAAACAUCGCUCGAAAGUAGUACUUCCAGUAGUCAUAUGAUUUCAGAUCGCAUCAGAAAGUGAUCACAAACUGGGUUGAUAGCUUGGCCAGUUGUAAUGCUGACAAUCAAACAGAUUUGAAUUGAAGAGUGUCAGUCACUCCGACUACAUGGACUGCGUUUGCCGCACCCUACCGCUUGUCAACGCAAGCAGUCCUCUACAGCUCAUUUUUGCAAAGCUCAUCCUGGAAACAAUCCAACCACUUGAUAUAACCUACGCUUAAGAGACAGGGAUCCAGAUACCGCGUUACAUCGAAAAAGGGUAGGAAUAUAAAUCUCAUUUACAACAGUGACUAGCACUGAUUGCAGACCAAGGCGACUUCGACCACAAGCCUUUGUCCAGUGCACCAACAAAGUGUCCCGUGACAUGUACAGACUGGACGGGUUCUCACAGGAUGAUACGGAAAACAGCUUCCUCAGCCUCCCUCAGAUGAGCCACCUUCAGAAGUGAAGUGAUUUGCGUAAUCUAGGAAAUGCUCCAUGCUUGAGAGAAAGUUCUCAUUAUGAUCCCAGAAAGAAUUUCUUUUGAAAAAUUCGUGUGACAAAUGGCGUACUACUCAGUUGACCGUCAAAAGCCACGCAGAUGACUGCCAAAUCAUUACCACACGAAUUGAAAACUCUCAAACGAGCGGUGUUGCAGGCAGUUGCAGAACACCACGGGCUGUGGGCACCCACCAGCUCGAUGAUCACACUGCAUCGACCAGACACUAGCUCUACGGACAAAAGAAAACCCAGACCUCCUGGUGCACCUCGAACGACACAAGCCAAAGUCAGGAUUCUCCCUCAAUAAUUCUUCCUUCCAUUAGCUUUAGAAGGCCACGACCAAGACAGGCAGACACGAGAAGGGCUAUCGUGGCGGUAAUAAAACCAAAAGUGUCUGGUGCCGAAGGAAAAAAACAAAACUCUUUGAGAGUGAUGACGUGAGCUGAUGCAUCUAAACAUUUGCACUCUACAUCUGCGGUCCAAAAAGCAGCAGUCAUUCUUUCCCCGUGUGCAUGGGACGCUGACCUAAAUAUAUAAAAAAUAAAAAACCACGGCUUGCAGGUUAUCGGUCCUUUACGCAUUGUUUGGCUCAUGUCCCACCCGCUUUGUUCUCUCGUCCCCAGCUGCGACGUCAUCAACCUAGUAGUGGACAGACCCUGUGGUGACCCAGUCCCAGCGAUGACCAGCUCAUGGUGAGCGGCCAAGUCAAGGUGAGUGUGCCUAUGUGUGCCUUAAAAAUACGGUGAUUAGAACUGACUUGACUCCUGCCCUCGGCCUCAAACUGCGAGGCACUUGUCACUAGGCAUCCUCAAACUCACCACCAUUGUCCUGUUCUUGUCCUACACACCCACACACUCACUCACUCACACACCCACACACUCACUCACACACCCACACACACACUCACCCCCACAAACACACACAUACACAUAUACACUGGGUGUUGUGGAUGGUCAGCUGUAGACUCACGGAUCCAACUUCAUAGCGAUCUAGGCGCAGCAUUACCUAAGGUGGGUACUCUUCUGCUUCUUCGACGCAAGAUGAGGAUGCAGAUCUGAGCACUGAGGCGGCGAUUGAAACGAGACGUUGUGGAGAAACGCACAACGGCGAAGCUUGUGCUUGCAAAGGCAACAGGGCUGUGGCGGUGGCACCAGGAGCUGCGUGUUUGUGGUCUGCAGACGAAUGUGAUGCUUUCUUACAUGGGUGGUUUUGUAUAGACCUUGUGGUUGAGUGCGUAAAAUAUACUAAACAAAUCAACAACAUGCAAUGUCUCUAUGACUGUGUGUGGAAAUGUAUGUGCAUAUAUAUAUAUAUAUAUAUAUACACACAUGGUGAGUAGAAUUUUUUACCAGUGUUUACUUUUAAUACUUCUAACAAAAGAGUUGGAAGAUUUAUUUUUAUUUUUUUGGAGCAGUUUAGUGCUGCAAUGAUCUUGAUGAAUAUAACCUGAUGCACUGUAAAGUGCAACUGCAGUUUAUGCCACUCAAAUAAGCAAAAAAUAGAAACAGAAAUAAAUAAACAAACAAACAAAAAGGUAUUACGUUUUGUGUAAACUAAUUGAAUGUUUAAGAACAAUAUUAGUUUAAAGCACAGCACUCCAUAAAUAAAUAUCACAUAAAAUUAAUACAGUAAGGAAUAAUAUAAUUAUCUGAAAAAUGUAUAUUUCUUGAUACCCAACAAAAGAAUAGUGUAGAUCAAAUUGUUUUUAGUUUAUUAAACUUUUUAGAACACAUUUUAUGCUAAAUAAGAACAUUUUUAUCUUUGUAUGUAUGUAUGCAUGCAAUAUAUUUUACAUGAGAAAUGUCAAUACUAACGAUUAAUCAAUAAACUUUUAAAAAUUAUUGUUUAAUUAAAGUAGGAUACUUUUGUCAUUUUCAAUGCCCAUUGUUGUUUCAUAAAGCAAAUUGUGGUUGGACAAUCUUCAUCCCUUACAGUGUGAUUUUGUAAAUAAUAUAAGAUGCAUCUCAAAUGCACCACUAAGAUUAGCUAAUAAAUAAAACUAAAAUAUUCUUUUGAUUUUGCAUUACUUUGCUUUGGUUGAAUCAAACAAUUCUCAAUUCCAAUUCUUGGACUUGUUUGCUUGACAUUAUAUGGAUGUUUAUCGCUCAAUUACAAAACCCAAUAUUUUAUUUAUUUUACGUGAAUGGUUCAAAAUGAUUCCACACGGGCUACUGAUUAGCUCUCAAAGAAGCAAAGACUCCUUUUGCAGGACCUGUUGCAUUGUUUACUCUAAUAAAGGUGGUUAAUGAACAAUAUUUUCUACCAAAUUUGUGAAAAAUAAUAAUUGAAAGAGGUUAUUUUAAUAUGUAUAAAUUAUUGGCUUCACCAACCUUCUAAAUAUUUGUUUAAAUCCACAAAAAAAUGAAAUCGUUGUAGGCAUCUAUAAUGAUUUGCAUAUAGAAAUUUGAUGCGAUUGUAGAAUGAGAUGAGAUUCUCUCAAGAGUGAAACCGUAUGGAAAUUGUGAUAGUUUCAGGUUUAAAUAUUUUUAUGAUAUUGUAAGAACACAGGGCGUCGAAAUUGCUUGAAACCAGUCAUGUUCAAACUUAGUAGAGGACAAUGGUAUUAACUCCUUUGAUUCUCCAAUUUAAAGCAUUUGUUUCUGUUAAAAUUUGAAUGCUUCAAAGAUAGAUUUUCAUACACUUUAGGCCUACCAUCCAAAAACAACUAUAAUUCUAAUAAAUAACUAAACACAGAUAAACAGAGAAAUCAAUUUGAAAUCAAAAUCAAAUUUUCUAAACAAAAUUUUAUUUGUGUAAUGAGAAGAUACUAGAAUGAAACAUUUAUGGAGCGUUUAGAAUGGUACGCUGUGAUUCGUUAAUAAAGGAGCAAGUUGAUUCUGUUCAGUAUAUAAAAGUACACUACAGUAAAUAAAUAAACUAUCUCAUUCCCUCUAUAUUUGAUUAUUUAUUUAUAGUUAUGCAUCUGUGCGUAUAUAAAUAUAUAUAUAUAUAUAUAUAUAUAACUAUUCUUUGAGUGGCUUUGAAUCAUUUGAAGAAAAAUUUAGUCUCUGCAUGGUAUACUUUAUAGAUACAUAUAUAUAUAUAUAUAUAUAUAUAUACAUACUUGCAUGGAUGCAUGCAGAAUCUCCUGUAAAUUUGAUUUAAUAAAAAAUUAAAUCUUCAAAUAUCUUGAAUUAAAUUUUGUACGUUGUAUUUUCUCUACGAAUUAAAGUCACUCACAUAUUAUGAUUUUAUAUCCAAUUUUUUAAAUAUUGUGAGUUGUUACCAUAUUAUAUUAAUAUCAAAACCUGCACACAAUUCAAGUCAUCUAUUUUAAAUUUACAUUCACAUUCAAAAUACAGGUUGCACUGUUUCUUUGUAUUGACAUGGUUUUGUAUUAUAUUUCGUUCAUUAUUCUUGGUACCAUAUUUAUUUUCUUAGUCGUCCUUGAAACCGUAACCUUCAAAUAAGUUACUUUAUUUAGUAUUACAUCAUCGAUUUUCGCUUUUAGAUGGGGUUAAGAUCCAAAAGCCCACUUUAAAAGAUCCUGGUAUUAAAAUCUUGUGAAGAUCUGUUUCUUAGUGAAGAAAUUAUCCUGAAAAAAAGAUCUGGUCUUUGAAGUAAUAAAAUGUGAGAAUAGGCAAUCAAGUGGGUGGAAGAUAAACUAUUUUGAUUCAAAAAUCUUUCACAUUCUAUCUCAAUUUUAAGAAGUUUGAUGCUGUAAAUUCUUUUGAAGAUUUUGAGUGAUAAUAUGAAGCAGUCUUUCACAAAGCAUCUUAACUUUUUGUGGAUUACCACCUCCUGAAGUGGAACUAUGUGUGCAAAACUAGUCAUGCUAUGUGAGAGGAAUACAAAUUUCGCCUCAUCUCUUCCAUUUGUUACCUCCUGCUAGAUUUCCUUAAUAAAAAACAAGUUUAAAUAAAGAUAUUUUCGAUAUCAACAAUUUCAAACUUAGAAUACUGCUCUCCUAGACAUAGAGACAACGUAUAUAAACAGUUUUUAUUUACGUUCUUUAAAUAAUAUUCAUUUGUUCUGCUUCCAAAUCCCUCAGAAAGAACCCUCUCCCAUCUUACCAACUUCUUUCCUUAAAUGUUAGGCCACCGUUCAGGCCACUUUUUCGGAGCUCCUUGCGCCAUGAAUUACUCAUACGGCUUGUUGUAAAAUUGUGAAACAACUAGUUCUAGAUAGUUCUGGGUAAGUGGUCACAGUUUUGCAAUUGUACCCUAUUCUACUUAAGCCCCAGAACCUGUGCAACGGUAACAGAUUUGACAUGUCUCCUCAGAAUUAGUCUGUUUUGAAGCAUCCAAUAACUGUUAACGUAUGAUCAUAGUAGCCUUCCAAUCAAACAACACCUUUGCAAACGUUACCAAUCACACCUUCCCAUUCAGGUUUCAUAUGAUAUUUACAGGAUUCACCACGGGUAUUCAACCCACCAUUUCACAUCUAGAGCCUACAACUUUCAUUGCUAGAACGUUUUGUCUGAAUUUUAAUCCAAUUUGAAGACAUGCCGCAAAAAUACCCAAAAGUUCCACCUUCGUUGUGGGGUAUCGACAUGCCCUUAGUGGUCACGUAUCUUACAUUGACCAAACCUUUGCAUUCCCCACUUCCACAAACAGGGUACACAGAACAGUCCGAUGACUAAAAGUAGGAAAAAUAUAAGAUAGUUAACCCAUCCAUUCACAGAUCCUAAGAUUUUAAAUUCACAAGUACUACAUACACUAUCAUGGCCUACCAAUAGGCGUAACAUGCGAAGGUUACCACUGUAAACGAAAGAGGAGCCACUUCAGAAAACCUUUUAAUCAGUCACCACCGACUCUGGAUGCUAAUUAUUGCUCGAGGCAAAAAUUCAGUACACAAGAACUCAUCACACAGAACAUACAGCCUGCAAACUGAAACUCAUCCGCAAGUGUGACGGCCAUGAGGUAAGUCACUGAGAAUAUAGGGAAACACAACACACGCACACACACAUGAACACAAACAUGGGUGGCAAUUUCAUGGACUCUGUUCAGGUAAAAUAUCCAUAGCGUAAUCAGCCGUUUAAAAGAGCUCCUCAAAGCAUUGGUUGCCUCAGUACAAAUCACCUAUUUCUUAACUCCACUGCGCCACAGCAGAAAAUAUGAGCGCUCCGCGUUCCCAUUUAGCGGUACUGGAACACGGAACACAGUCGGGCAACAUCAACGCAUUGAAAUCAAAUAAUUAAAACGCCAAAAGAGUGCACGAUCUCACCGAAAAAUCGUUGUGUUCUGCAAACCCGCGAUAGAAAAUAACUCGUUCAAGAAAAACUGAACAAAAAGUAAUACCUUCACGAAUCCAAUGUCCUUGGAGUAGAUACGGAAGCACUGACGGCAAGUGUUGAUGCCGUACUUGCGAAUCAUUCCGCAUGAGUUCCCGCACACCCGGCUGCACACACAAAGGAAUCCCGCAAACUGUAUGAGUUUUCGCAGCAUGAUGUAAUUCACACUGCUAUCGACUCCAUCAGACAGUGCCCAAAGCGCGGACUUCUGACCGAUGAACGGGAUCAUUACAACGAGGAAAAAACAACUCAGUCACUCUCAAUAGUGUAUUUCUUUACAACCCACAAAUGGUUAUCGAGUCCAGUUGUAAAAUACCGAGCGAGAAUAUAAAAAGGUAUUGCACUUGGGCUUCACUACUUAGAAUGUCAUCAUGUAACCGGAUGCUCUCAAGGCAAUCAGAUACCACUGCACCAUGUAGGAGAGGCCAAAAAAGCAAUGCUACUUGGGCAACUAACCCUACAGUCUCAACCUAGAAUCCACCACAUCAUCAUCUUCACACAGUACUUUAGACGAGAGGCUGCGUACAUACAGGAAAUCGCCACACUAUACUGAGAUUAAUUAGCAACAGACUGCACUCGAACUCGCAGUUCAUACACGAAACCUAAACAAAAACAAGAAACAUCAUGCAACAACCAUCAACAACAGGGUUUCAACAUCUACAGCGCGACGGCAGACCACCUGCCUAUCACUAGAACAUAAUAGUCUUGAUGAAUCCUGCACUAAUCGAAUCCAACUGGACUUUACAAAAUCUUCACAAGCGCGACUAAACAUUGCAGGUAGCCCAUGAGGGCCGGCGGGCGCUGGAACGCAUCUAGACCAGUCUAAGGAUAAGAACGUCAAUCGUAUAAACAGCUGCGACUGCAAGCCCAGCUGAGGAGGUUGCACUGCGCCGUCAGCACUAACAUCGAAGCCGAUUACAAAAAACCGAAACCCUAAUUACCCGACCCCAGAAUCACGAAGCGCGGAUCUUAUUCAAAGCAGGCAUGCAGGACACCAAAGGGAAAACGAAAGAAGGACUGAAACCGUUACCAGGUGCGGGAGCCAGGGCCGUAGCCCUUAGGGUGCGAGUUCCACACCGCCUCGUGACCCAUGCUGGCAGAUGAUGCAAGCAGCGACAACAACAGAUGCGACGAAGCACAAGAGGCGAGGGCGAGGGCGACUAAGGCGCAAGGGGAGAGCGAGAGUGGGAGAGGAGGACCGAUGGUGCGUGCUCCUCGUUAUGGCCACCCUGCGAGAGUUAUGGCCAGCCUUGGAAUUAGGGCUAGGGUUACGAGAUGGACCAGUCCACUCUGGCGGUCCACUCUGGCGGUCCACUCUGGCAGUCCAAGCUGUCCGACGUUACAUGCCCUGCUGGCAUCUGCGAAUACGUCACCAUUUCGGGUUACUGCAAUGUAUGUGUGUACACAACGAUGAAGAAACAAACCAAAUAUAAUCAUUAAAAAGCAGUAAAUGUGAGCAAAGGUGUAUAUAUUGGAAAAGUCGAGUUGCAUUUGUUGUUUUGAUUUUUAUGUUUAAUACACAUAUGGUGCUCAUAGUUACAUUUUAAUAUAUAUAUAUAUAUAUAUAUAUAUAUAUAAUAAAAAAUUAAGUAUACAUCCAAAAAAAUCUAUGAAAAUAUAUAAUUUUGUAUAUUAUUUCACUUUUAACUACUAUAAAAAUAAUAAUGAAACAUUCUAUAUUGAAAUGGGUUUAAAAUAGUACUUCUUAUUCGCCAAUAUUGGUGAGUAUUCCAAGAAAGUUAUUUAUUGAAAGACAAUAUAUUACUAGCGGAUAAUAAUAAAAAUAAUCAACUCUUAAAAUGUAAUUAUAUAUAUAUAUAUAUAUAUAUAUAUAUAUAUAUAGAGAGAGAGAGAGAGAGAGAGAGAGAGAGAGAGAAAAAAAAAAAACUUCUUACUCUUCAAAAUAUCUAUUUUUGUAAUUCUAGUUAGUUCUCAAUUUUUUCUUCAAAUACAAUAUAAUAAGUAUUGAAUAUAGUAUUUUUACUUGAGUAGCUUGCAAAUACAUAAUUAAGAACAAUCUCAAUAAUCUAUCAAGUACAAUAAUUAAUUUGUCUAAACAAUUUAGUACUUAUAAAAACUCAACUAUCAUGAACAAAAACCAAAUUCUUAUACAUAUCUCAAUAUUUUAUUUCAAGUGAUUGCACAUCUUACUAAAAAUAUGGUCUAAAAUGCUAUUUAUGAUAAUGACCAUAAUACGUUUUAUUGGAUUAAUAUGCCAAAACAAAGAAUCUAUCAUCUAUCCAAGAAGUUAUUUGUAAAAAACCAACGUUUUAUUUGGUACAAGUUAAAAUAAAAACCGUUAUUUUACUUUUUAAUAGAAUAAAAUUAAAGACAUCAAUUUUAAAUAUUUUGCAACUGUCAUACAAGAAAUUCAUUGAUAUUUAUAUUGUAAUAAGGAGAUAUUGUUAUCAACUAAAAGUUCACCAAAAUUUGCUAAAUAUUAGUAUAUUGUUUAAGAAUAUAAGAUAACUAGUCAUAUCAAUAAAUAUUUUAUUAAAACUAUGAUUUUUUUUUACAAGAUUAAAAAUGACUAAAAAUAACUUGAAGGAAGAAAAAAGAAACACACUCUUCUAAUCCUAUCUUAAUAUGUAAAUUUUUAAAAUUUUGAUUUAGAACUUCAUACUUCCAAAUUGAAUUCGAAAAUUUAAUCAAUAGGAAAUAAAUUCAAAACCUCACCUUUUCACACAUUGGUUACACAUCAAGAUUUGGAGAGCCUGAAGUUCUAAACCCUUCAGCUGCUGUAGUUCUAUCUUGUUCUCUCAACCUCGUAUUUGGAAAAAUAUGGCAGCUCUCCUAGUGUUCGAUGAAUGUUGCAUAGUUUUCAAAAAUAUUCCGUCUAAUCCUCAAAGGUGCUGCAUCCAACAUAUAUCAGCUUUUGAAGUUUUAAUUCAAAAUUCUCAACACAAUAAGUUCUAGUACAGGUUAUCCAAGGAAAAGUGUUAACUUUCCUUCACCACCUAGUGCUUGCAGUUAACAAGGGAAGUUUUGAAAGAAUUCUUCCUACUUCUUCCUUAAAAUUCUGCACAAAAAGACACCCCUCAUUCUGAUAAUCCCCUGAUAGAUUAUGACCAGAUGAGUCGCUCGAAAAUACAGAGCUUGAUUCGCAAUUCAACCUUAAAUAUUUAAGUCCAUAUAAGUUCUUUGCUUUAAUUGGGUAACUCAUGUAUUGUCGAGAUAGUGGGUGACCCUGCCAGUGCUGCGAGGAGGUCCGAAACAAUUUUAGGUGAUUCUUGGCAGUGCAGGUGACAUGAGACUCGUACGGAAUACAACACGAUUCCUAAGUAGUGUUACAAAUCAUUGCCCCAAGGAUACAGGUCGCCAGGAGGACCCUCGGUCCAGUUUAGGAACGAUUGGCCUGGUUGUAAGUAAAUACUAGGAUCGUGAGGCAACUUUCGAGCCAGUCCGUUCAGGAUCUGGUGGAAUGCAUCGCCAGGUUUUGCAGGUCGAGGGAAAAGCAUGGCUUGCUUCAUGGCUGGGUUAGCCAGUAGUCUCUGCUUCUCAAGCACCUCCUCAUGAUUAAUAGUACACAAUAUUUUGUCCAGUAUAGGAACAUCUUUCUCUUCCACAAACACCCCAAUCUUCUCCCAUGGUAUGGCAUCAGCGAAAGGAAGCACUAUGUCGUCUGCAAUAAUGACAGGAAUGCAACCAAAAAUCACCCCUUCAACAAGCCGGGGACUCCAGGGAGCCCAACCAAGUGGACACAAGCAAAAAAUUGCGCGUUGCAUGUCUUCAUAGUAAGUUGCUGGAUGCUCUGUCGAGAUGUCGAACAAUGGGUUAUCUUUGAAAUUUUCCCAGAUAGCUGCUCUUGCGCCUCUGCAAAGAAUCAUCCAAUGAAGAACUCAGUAUGUCUAACAAACCAAGAGGAAGCAAAAGAAUAAAUACACAAAAGAUGAAUAAAAACUAGCUUGCAUGCAUGUCGGGAGAGAGUAGACUGAUACUUCAGUAACCACAUUGAAAGUUUUGGUCAUGUCUCUUUAGCACACAUGAACACAACCCAAGAAAACCUUCUUUUAGAUUAUAGAACGAAAAAGCAUACUAAUAAAUAAAUAAACAAAUAAUACUACAUAUAAAAAUAGUAAGUAGUCGUAAAAACCUUACCGAGCAUAAUAACCACCUUCAGGAUCGUUGCCAGGGUCAUAAAAUAAACCUCUGAAAUAUGCAAAAAUAGAGCGUGGGGUGCUUGGCGGAUUCAGCCGGGUUUGCAUCCUUUCAGGUGGAGCAUACGGAGGGAUAACAAUUGAAUCUUCCUUGAGACAAACGUGAUGAUUCUGGCCAAACGUUUGAAUUAACGUUGCUCGCUUCAACAGUGGGAGAAUACCCCUCUCAAUGGCCUUUUCUUCCUGUAUCAGAAAAAAUGCGCAAGUUUAUUGUAAUAUAAAAAUGGUUUAAAAGUAAGCCUCAUUCUGUUACUUCCGAUUGUCACUAGAAAGAAGGAAAUAGAUGUUUUCACGAGUCAGUGGAAGCACAUCCCUCUUUGAUCAUCUGUGCCUUCUAGGAUUCGUGCAUAAUCCUACGGGUGCAGGACGUUAACUGUAAUCACAACGAAGGCACAAAAAGACAAAAUUGCGUAUGAAAGUGAAAUUUCUGAAUACCUGGUAAUGAAAGCAAGCAGCGAAAUCAUGUGGUACAACAAAAAAAUGGUCUGCUCCAUCUGUCCUGUUCCAGUACGGCCAGUGGCUAGAAAUGUAGCUGAUAGCACUUCUCAUAACGCGGGGUGACUUGAAAGGCAAAGGAAGCCCAUUUGGAGUCAAAUCACAUGUUGUGUACACAGGAGUGUAAAACCAGUCGGCCUCUUCAGGAUUCAACGUCCGGACAGGGCUUUCCGUCAAAAAGUCGUGAAGAUACUCCUCCACAGCGAACAUGUGUGUAAGACAGCGAGGGUCCUUUUUCAACCAAUCAGUGUUAUAUUUACUGUAGGACAACAAAGUUCAACCAUCGCUAGGUUAGAUACACUCCAGUAUUCUAUAUCUUAUGAAGCAACCCUCCCAAAGACAUCGUGUCAUAUCAAACAGUAAAAAGAGCGUCACAGUAACGUAAAAACCUUAAUAGAAUUCAGAAUACCAGAGCGAAAAGAAUUGGAUAUGAUUUCAUCUCUUAGAUGGUGCUCGUAAGCUUCAAAAAAAAUAAAUACCUCGGAAUGUCAUAGAUAAAAACUUUCAGACGGCCAACAGGGUUGUCCUCCAGCACAUCACCCGCACUUCCUGCAAAGAAUUUACCAGGUGUCCUUGUCAUCUAAGUGGAUGGUAUAACUUUCAUGUAGGACUUUCAUACAGAAAUAAAAUGAAAUAUGCCUUAUUAAGAGUUGUUCAUCACUGAAAAAUCAGGAUAACUAUGUUGCACACACAACCUUGCAACAGCUGAAAUGGCAUCUUUCAUUUAGUAGAAGCAAUAUUCAGCUGUCUUCAAGAUAAUAAGUUCCUAGGGAAAUUGAGCAUAAGUGGGUUCGCCUGGCGAUUGAGUUUCACAGCCUAAUUUCUUUCUACUGAACAGGAUAAGCUGCAUGUACUAUCUCUCUAUACUCGCACUUUGAACUAAUUUUGAGCGAUUUCUCAAGUUGGAGCUUGAUAACUGUGGGUUACCAAAGAAUUCCAAAUUGCUUAAUCAACCAGUUCUUAUAAAAUGCACCAUAUAAUCUGCACAAACUCUGGAAACCCGGGUCACCAGAUGAUAAAUUCUAUUUCCCCAAGCCAGCUUGCCAGGCUCCUUGCGCAACGAUCAAUAUUCACAACAUUCCCGAACAUAAGAAACCCUAAGCCAUGCAAAUGCGGUACCUGAAAUUCGUUGAUGACCCAUUUCCGCAGUGACAUCUUGAACAAAAUAGAUGAAUAGCAGCAGUAACACGACAGACCUUAAGCCAGAAGCCACAACAGUGCGCUUCAUUAACCCCCACCCUCUACAUUUCUUAUUACAGAACCAACUCAUAGCUAAACUACAAGAAUCUGCGCACUCCAAAGGGUGCUCCAUUGGCUGCCCUCCUUGUUCAGUGCCACCCCAUCAUGCCCUCCUACGAAACACCCAAUUCUCCCAUCCCUAAGAGAAGCUCCAAACCUUCCCGAAAACGCUACAAACCCUCUCUUCCGAUCCCCCAAAUGCUAGCUGCUAAAAAAAUAAAUAAUCCGUGCAGCUUAAACCAUCCGAACCCAUCCCAUCAAAUACCAUUCGCGUGUAGCUCGAUCGUGCAUCAACGCAUCACCGAAGUUUCCAAUGCUCCAAUACACGCACGCACACGCACAAGGUUGUCGUGAAUGCUACCGCUUGAGGCCAAGUCUGUCCCACUAGGACUCAAACCUCGGCUCCUCGGUGAUGAUCAGUGGGACAUCACGGCACCCACAGCUUCCUUCCAGCAAGCACGCAGCUGGCAAAGGGCUUGUAGCGUGAAGCUGGGCAUCAUGCUUCUAUGUCCAACAAGCGAUUGCACCCCGACUACUAAAUUUGUUUGGCAUGAUUCUCCUGACCAACUCGUGCUGCUUCUUCUCCGACGCCUUGACUCGGCCCAAGGGACCAGGACGCUGCGAGACCGUCAAUAAUAUCCAAGUUCGUUGAUUUCAAGUCAAGGUUUACAGAUAUUAGAGUGAAGUCUUCUCUUCUAAUUCAAGUGUAGAUUUGAAUGCGGAUGCUGACCAGGUGAGAAAUGAGAUCCAGAUCUUGAAACGACGUUCCACGGAUGGUGGCAUGAUCCUAAAUUAAACUAGGUUAGUGUUGAAUUAGUCGUUAAUUUCAUGUUAAGUGAGGUCUGUACCGAUGAGUAGAAGUGUAGGGUUUCAUUUUGUGUUUGAAUUUAGACAGUGGUUUUUGUGUUUGAAGUGAAAUUUUUUUUUUUUUUUUUUUUUUUUUUUGCGUAAUUAAAAUAGCCCGACAUUUUAGACGAGGAAUUUGAUAGCUUUUUUAAUACCAGGAUUAGAUUACAUAAUUUUUCUAAAAUCAGCUUUUUAUCAAAGUUAAAAAGUUACAGUUAAAAACAUUCAAUGCAUUAGAUAUGUUGAUAUCAUGGACAUUCAAACAGACUAAACUAGAUUUGAUAAAGCAAUUUUGGUCACACACACCUAACAACAACAACAACAACAACCACGCAUAUGUAUAUAAAUAUAGGCACAUAUAAUUGAUCACAUGGGUACACAAAAAAUAAUCAAUCAAUGUUAGAAAUAUUAAUAGUGCAUUCGCUUUACAGCUGUGCACUAUUAAUGUGCUUGAAAUUCCAUGCACAAUCAACAACAUGUGGAAUGAAGGAACACGCAUACAUAUACAACAUGUGGAAUGAAUGAACAAUUUUAGGUUUUAAAAAAACCAAUCCUUUUGAAACCCUAAUCCUGUAACAACGCGGAAGCCCUAUCCCUUACGCAGUUUUCAUGUCGAACAGGCUCGUGGUUGCUGGUGAAUUCAUGGCGCCAUGGAUGGGAUUGGCCGAUACGGCGCGAGCUGCAACGCGUCAUGGCAGAGAACCUCAAAGGCGGCUCUGGAAAUCAGAUGAUAUCGGUGGCGGCAGAUUAUAGCAGGUCUCUAAGAUUGACUUGAGCUCGAACAAGCGCUGGAUUCGGUGUGUAGGUUUUUGUUCGUCCGCAAGCUCGUUGGACUGAUACCGCCCCGAUUCGUCCAGCAAGCACGUCAUGGCGUCCGCGCGAUUCCCACAGACGAUGUCAUCAGCUGCACUGUCGCCCACCAUCAUCACCUCGUGGGGGUGCAGGCCCCAUUUGUCGCAGAUGUGCAGCAAUGGCGCGGGAUGAGGCUUGCAAGGGGUGAACUCACGGCCCAAAGCGGGAUGGAACUUGGGCAAUCCGAAUCGUGAGUGGAAGAAUUCGAUGCCAGUGUUCACAUUGCGGGUGAUGAUGCCGCGACGAAUGCCACGCGCAUCGAGGAAUGAGCACACCUCCUUCGCGCCCGGCAUGAUCUGAAGCUUCUCAUGGGCGUCUUGCUCGAUCUCUGUUAUUAUGGCGUACGCGCGAGCUUGUUUCUCGGAGCUCCAGCUGGAGAUUUCGUGAAGGAUGUCGAUAGGGUUGUUGUUGACGACGUCUGGAUGAUCUCCGCCCAGUAUACGUUUGUACAUGAGUCGGAAGUCGAUGCAAGGCACGGUAAGAGUCCCGUCCAUGUCAAAGAUCAUACCCUUCACCGAUGGCUUUGGGUGGAAAUGCUCCGCUGUCCCCGUCAGUAGCCGUCUUAUGGGUGACAUAGCCCUUCUGAAGCCUCACCACUCCUUUACACGGAAUGGACCAGGGAAGAGCUGAUACGCCAGUAACCCUUCAAGUAGUUUCCUGCAACCCAUAAACAUGAAUGCACCCCCAAGUACCAAAAGAUUAGAUUAUGUACAACACUUCUGCCCGAUUUUCCGUGACCAAUACCCACGUAAGCAACUCUUGAUCUGGACACAGCGUGUGCCGUAGCAAUUUGAUCUGCUUCAGCUGAAAGGAUUUCUUCCCUUGGCACUCUAUUGGUGAACAAUCAACCGAGAGCUAGUAAUUCCAAGAAGUACUAGAUAGUACAAUGUCUAAGACACUAUCAGUACAAUACCGUAAUCGAAUUAUCAAUUUGGAACGAGAGCAACGAUAGUAAGCCGAGAAGGUGUCGAAUUGCGGUUUGAUAGAAAAAUCUUGGUCAGAAGCACUGUUUUUCUAACAUGCCAGAUUCAAAAUAACACUCUCGGCAACGAGAGUGUUCAUCAAGCUGUCAAUAUGCGAAAUUCCACAGUCGUACAAUCACGAAUGGAAGAAAACCCGAAGCACUCGACGUUCGCACUCAAAAACCCAAUCCCUAUAUCCCAAUUCAGAGAGGGAAAACGAUUCCCAAGAUCAGUUAUUCAAAUUCCAAUACAUUCAUUCCAACCAUUGCCCUUAGCAUUGCAAUCCCACCAACUUCUCAGUAAUUCUUUCAUACCUUCAAGGCCCUGAACACUCCCGACAAUUCAAUAUUGGUUGUUGAUAGCAUUGCACGUUUCCAACCUCAAACAAAUGAAGCUCCAGAGAGUAACGGUCUCCACCACUCUGCCUUGAAGCUCCAGGUCAAUUCUCGGCACGCAGAGAGUGUAUAGAAAGAGUUCCAUCUCCACAUACCGCAAGGCCUCGGUGUGACAUACUGUAACACCAAAAGUGGAGAGCGAAUCUGGACCUUCCACAUCGUGAUCAUACUAUCAUUCUCCUUGAAAAAGCAACUCCCAUCAAACGCAAAGCUGUGGAAAUGACAGUGCGUUAGAAAGUGAGAAAGAGAGGAGACAGUCAUCGUCUCAUCCAUCCGCGACCCGUCGAUUUCUACCCCAUAUCUCUCUCUCUGCCUCAUCCGCUUAAAUUCCGUGGUUGCAUGAAGCAAGCAGGGUUAGUUUAUAUUAUUGGUUGUGUGUCAACGUAUGGUCAUCAUGUUGGCUCUCUGAAUGCCAUCUCUCUUGGGUAUUAGAGUCUCGCGCUACAACUCAUCCAGGGUUCCUGCAUGUAGAGAGUUGAGAAAAGAGAGAGAGCUACCUCGCAGACCCACAGAGGCAUUACCUGCUAAGGAGAUUCUGAUAUCCACAACAUGAAGCGAUUGUCAUCAUGUAGGGCUAUUGAAGGGCACCAGACCGAGAGUCUCUUAGUUAGUCUCAAAAGAUUGGACAAUGUGUUGAAAGACACAAAUACACAUUUUUAGUGCAAGUCACGUCUGCUUCUGAUCCAUUAUGUCUAUUCAAGAUAGGCCAAGCACAACCACCUGUGAGCGAUAUCGCUUUGUGACAUAGGUAUAACUUCUUGAUAGGGCAUCGCUUUCAGAGACGGUAUCAAUUCAAGACCACAUCUUGAGAUAGGUAACACCAAUAUAUAUAUAUAUAUAUAUAUAUAUGUAUAGAUAUGUGUUUUUUUAACAAAGUUUAGUAUUGAUAAUGUUGUUUUUCAUUUGCAUGAUAUCAAAGCAAGUAUGAUAAUUCACACCAGAGUUUGCACAUGAGUGAAGAUUUCUCCUAUUUUAAUAGAGAUUCAAGUUUGUUUGUUUUCACCUAAUGUUGAUCAAGUGAAUUAGAUAUAAUAAGCAAGACUCCAUUAUGGACUCUAUUGCCACAAAUUUCACUAAUUGGUGACAAGUCUAGCUUUGAUCAAUAUGCCCUUGGGAGGUUUUCAUUUUUUAUAAGAAAAAAUAAGGAUUUAUAUUUUGGAGUAUUUUGUGCAAUUUGUAGCACAUCUAUACAUAAAAAAUUUAGAGUUAGUACCUUAAGUUAUGUUGAAUGUGUGUUUAAGCUUGAUCAAAUAGUUAAUCAAAGAUUAUUGAAAUUUAAGUGGGAAGGAGACUAGGAAAUUGGAAUUUGGAGGGCUAGUGAAGGUUUCUCAUAUUUGUAACAAUCUGCAAAUUGGCAUUUUUUUUAUUUAUUAUUAUUAUUUUUUUAAUACCAGUAGCAGACUUGAUUUCCAACAAUUAUGCCAAUCUUGAAAGAAAUUGAACAAUAAAAACAAGAGAUGUCAGUGCUAAGAAUAUGCCAUUAAGAUUGGAGGAAGAAGGUGGUUGAUGCCUAAGUAGAUAAUGAAAAUUUUCUUCUAUUCAGUAUGUUUAAUCUUCAUUAAACUAUUUUUUCUUUUUUUUUUUAAUUAAAAAAUUGAAAGAUGCACAAGUUUUUAAUUAAUGACAGCAAUUAAAUUAUUAGUUAUUGAGAUUUUUAUUUUAACAUAGGAUUUAAUUAAGAUUUGAUUAUGAUUACAUAGGAUUUGAUUAUGAUUUUUGGUAGGUAUUUAUUAGAAUUUGGCUAAGAGUAAGCAUUAAGAUUUUGUAAAGAUUUGACUAGGAUUUAAGAUAAGGAUUUGAAAAGGAUUUAAUUAAGAUUCUUUUAGGAUUUAUUUAAAGUUUGAUUAGGAUUCCUUUAGGAUUUCAUACAAAUUUUAUUAAGUGUCUUUUAAGAUUCUUUUAAAAUUUUAUUUGAAUUUGAUUAGGAUUUGAUAAGGAUUCAUUAAGAUUUCAUUAAUGUUUGGUUAUAAGUACUUAGAGUUUGUUAGAAUUUGAUUAAGAUUUGAUUAAAGUUUCUUUAUGGCUUAAUAAAAUUUGAAUAGGAUAUGAUUAAGAUUUAUUUAGAGAUGAUUAGAAUUUAAUAAGAUAUAUCUAGGAUGAUUUCAAAAUUAAUAGGAUAUAUUGAGGAUAAUUAGAAGUUUAUCCAAGAUUGCAAAGGGGUGUUUCUAAAUGCCUUAUACAUAGGUUUUGGUUGUAAAUCAAACUUUAAGGUAAGCUCAUUCUCUUCUACAAUUAGAUGUCUAGUGCAUCAAGUUAGAUUUCACAUAACACAACACUGCCUUUGGUUUAGGUAGUUAAGAAAAAAUACAUAUUUACAAAGGUUAAGUAGCAAAGAUUUUUUUUUAUCACAAUGUAGCUAUAAAUAGCUAUAAUAUUAUUUUGUAGAUAAUACAAGAAUAGCAACAAUUAAUAUUUGGUUAUAUACUUUAUAUCUAUUUUAUUAGUACAUAGAUAGUUCUAAGUCUUAGGUUGUAAAAUGAUUAGAGAAAAGAUUCAUGAAGACCUUUAGGUUUUCAACUCAAUAUGAAGAAGCCUUGGAACUCUGGCUUUGGAAUUGUAAUUGUGGUGCUUGAAGGCUAGUCAGACGAUGAAUUAGAUCGAAAAUGUGUAAUUGAUGAUUAUGGAAGGAUCUUGGCCUCUUACAGAAGCUUCAAAAGGGACAUUUCUUCAGCUAUUAGUACAACGAAAAGAAAUAGAAUUAGUUAAAUGAGGAAGGAUUAUGUGGAGAACAAUUUACUAUUUUGUAUGUUGUUAGAUGGAGCUUGGGACAUAGUUCCAAGGCCAAAUUGAAGAGGUUAAGAUUGAGCAUGGGAAAUACAUGAGAUUGAGCUGUAAAUUAUUACAUAUGAGAUUGAGCAUGAGAAAUUGGGUCUGUUAUAUUAAGAAUGCAUUAAUCAUCAGGCAGGCAUAUAGCCCUGCCAUCUUCGGUCAAGUACCCACGUCUGCCUCGCUCUAGCUUCCAGCAGGUAUAUCGAACAAGCACACAAGCAAAUUAACAACCGUACACUGCAACACGACAUUUCAAUCCCAAAAACAACACCGUUCUGGACACCCUGUAACUGCUCCGCCAAAACCAAAUCCCGCACUAUUCACUUCUUCUUGGCAGCGGCCUUAGUAACCUUCGCACCAGUUGGUUCCUUCUUCUCCACGGCCUUGAUAACACCUACGGCCACC